This 50256-nucleotide long non-coding RNA is filed under the name Cucumis sativus (cucumber). RNAcentral's name for it is "long non-coding RNA (CSAT_LNC000751)". Lineage: Eukaryota; Viridiplantae; Streptophyta; Magnoliopsida; Cucurbitales; Cucurbitaceae. The record is from RNAcentral.
UUUCGAUUUAUUUUUUUUUUUUUUUUUUUUUUUUUUUUUUGAGUUUGUGGGUUAUGAAUUCAAGGACACCCUUUUCAAUAGUUAAAAUUGGAUGAUUUUUUAUUUUAAUUUUGCACUAAAUUUUAUAUUUUGAUCUAUUAUGUGGAAUGGCAGUCAUAAGCAUUUACAAGUUUAUUCAAAAUGAUCACAUUAUUUUUGUAUGAAUAAAGAACGAAUGGUUUUUAUCUUAAACUUGGAAUGGUUUUUAUCUUAAACUUGAAAGUUAUAUUUGUGAUUGUUCCUAAUUUUAAUUUACUGAUAUAGCCCAUGAAUUUAUGUUUCGUUCCAUAAUUAUUUGAUUUUUUUAAAUUGAGUUUACUUUUCAAAUUUUUAUCAUGAUUUUUAACUUUCUCUAAAUCUUAAUCAAAUUUAAAAAACAAAAGAAAUUAUCAUGUUGUUUAAUUUUAAAAAUAUUACCAUACCAAUGCAAAAAUAGUGUCCGAACAAUCUCACACGACAACUCGCUUAACCUUAUAAUAUUUUGGUCUCAAAGUAAAUAGCUACAAUGGAUUGAAUCCAUGACAUCUUUAUUGAGACUCCUUUUUUUACCACUAGGCCAACCUAUUAGGAUUUAGAAAGAAAAAAAAAAUAGUUAUUUGAAUGAGCUUUUGAUCAUCUAUGAUCUAUUCGUAUAUUUUGUUAGAAAAUAUGUAAAUGAUAAAAAAUUUAGAAAUAUUUAUCCAACAUAUAGCAAAAUUUCAAACUCUAUUAAUAAUAGAAACUCUAUUUUGUAAAUUAUUAUUAUUACUAUUAUUAUUAUAUUUAAAGAUAGACAUUUAUCCUGUAGAGCAUAAUUUUGAAUUUUAAAAUUUGGCUCAAUAGAUUUUUUAGUGUUCAAAUGACGAAUUUUCUCAACAAUAGAUGUAAGUUAAAGUUUGAAGAAUCUCUAAACUUUCAGAAAAAAGAUAAACGACCAGUUAUUUCUUACAUAAAUUGUAUAAAGAUUCAAAAAGAAUGGUUGAUCAUAGCUAAACAAACAUAUUAACGUCAAUUAUUUAUGAUUGAAUGUAUAAUAUACAUGCAACCUAAAAAAGGGAAAAACUUGUAGACCAUGGAGAGGCCUAGAUCUUAUUGCUAUGCUAUAGGCAUGGCUAAAUUGACAGAAAUUGGCUUUUCAUGUGUUCAUCUUGAGGAGAAGAAAAAAAGAAAAAACAAGAAACUGUAAAUUUUUCAAACAUUCUUCAUUAUAAAUCAAGUCAGGGAGAGGCCUUGACAUUCAUCCAAUACAAACUGAACCAUUCAACAAAAACCAGCUUAUUAGUAAAUUGUUACGAGUUUGUUUGUCAAAAUACUAGGACUUCAAUACUGAUAAUUUAGCAUAGUCUUUGCUUCCUUCAAUUCUAACUUUUUGGUCACUCAUAUUCAGAGACCAAAAGGUUGGUGCAAGCCUUUCAAAUGGCAUUGUUCAUGGCGCUAUAAAGAUCAGGAAUACAACAACUUACAGCGUUACCUUUGGAAUAUGGAUACUUCAUAUACAUAGUACUGAGAAUUUUAAGAUCUGUACACCAACCUUUUCUUGCGCCAAGCAUGACUUUUCGUAUGCAGCUCUGAUUCCAUGUGAUCCUUCAAAAUAUCGGAUUAAGGAAAUCGACCUUGAGUGAUGAUUAAGGACUUUUCCUGAAAGAAAUAAAAGAGUAAAAUGCUUGAGGCCAAGGUAUUUGCAACCACUGAAAAACUAAGAAACAAUGUAGUUUGAGAAUAGUAAAAGGUUUGAAGUCAAUACCAGAAAGGAUUGCACAAGAUUUAUUUAUGUUGAUUUGUUCCAUGUAGUUUGUUGGUAUCAUGCUAAACGAACGUCUGCUGUUUGUACCGAUUGUUGAAACAGAUAGAGCCAGAUCUGUUCUUAGGAAGAAAAGUUCUUCCAAAAUUGAAGUCUUCAGCUCCAAUCAUGUAUCUAUUUCCUGCUUCAGGCAAGCUAAAAUCAGCAGGAUUUUUGUUGACACAACAUAUUUCAGUCUCAGAAGUGCUUUUCUCGUUUUGCAGAGUUCGAGUAUGAGCUACCAAUUUGCAUUCCUCAGAGUUUCUUUUCAUGUGAUGCGCCAACACAAACACUUCGGAAUUAGAUGCAUUUACCAGACCUUUCUCUAUGCCAUUAACAGGAAAUGUUCUAUCAUCACCACUUAUGAAAUGAGACUUCGAUAGCUUUUGGUCUUUGCUCCAAGAAGAUGAAUCUGAGCAUUUCAUUUUUGCUCCAUUUUGAGACCUAAAGACGGCCUGGCUGGAAAAAUUGGUACCGCUUCCAAAUCCUCUACUAUGCUGGAAGGUACUAGUGGAUGCAUUGGUAGCAGAACUACAAACUUCGUCAUGGAAAGCAGAUGAAAAUUGGCUCAUGUCCUGGAUGGUCUUAUUGAAACAAAUGUCGGUUGCAGAAAAUUCUUCAGCUUUUUGAGUACGAGGAACAGGAGGUUUCUUAGAUGGUCUAUGCUUCUCACCUGCAGUCGUGGGUGCAUUAGAUUGCAUUCUGGCAUCCAUGAGGCUAAGCAAGUGCAUUGCCGAUAUAGCUUCGUUAGAGUACAACUCCAGUGAGCCAACUGGAUUAUGCUGAAGCUCAACCACAUUAGGAUGGCGACAAAAUGAACUCUCUGCAAAUCUCUGGCUGUAUGCUUCAGUACUUUUUUGCCUGCCGUGCCUUUCUAGGUUGGUAGGGUGAUGAUUAUGAUGAUUCUGGGCAUUUGUGUUUCCCAUCUGAAAUGUUCUCGGACUUGAGAUUUUUCUACUGUCGGUCGAAUGAGCUGGAAAGUUCUGAUAUCCAUUGGACAUAUGAUCUGGCAUCAAAGAAGAAGUAGACCAUAAGUACGCUGCUUCUAUAUUCUGUUCUGAAACGGGUAAAUGAUCUAUGCAUCCUUCAGAAUAUUGUACUUUGGAGUUGUAGGGACCUGAUUCCACUGUGGUUCCAUUACAUUUUCUAAUCUCUGAACGAAUUUUUCUUUUAGAUCCAAUGGAAGAAUAUUGCAUACCAUUUGAUGGUUCUUCUAAAGAAUGAAUCGAAUCAUUACACCUGAGCAUAUGAUUCUGCUGCAGAUGGCUAAUACCAAAUUGAGAUUCCCCAAUAUUUGAGAAAUAAUUUGCUGGUGUAUGUGUCCUGGCUUCCACAACUUCUCUCGCACAAAUCAAACCAUUUCCUCCAUUCCUUUCUUGAGCAUUUUGUUUCAGAUUUCCAGGCUUUUGUAAUAAUUCUCUCCCAUUUCUAUAUACAUAGUCAUAAUUAUUUACUUGAACGGCCCUUGAGAAUUUUCCUGUUUCUGAAACAUGUUUAUAAUUAUUCUCAGCAUCAGGAAGACGUCUUUCAUACUGAUUCUUUGCCAUUAGUUCGACGAUUUCCAUGGGGAUAUCAUCGGAAGUCCCACGGUCAGAUGGCUGGUCCGUUCUCUGGUUAAUCUGUCUCUUCUUUAGAGCCAAAGGUUCCUGAGCUUCAAUAGUUCUUUUACCAUUGCCUCUUCUGAGUAAAUCCUGUUCAUAAAUUUUAUACGAGAAAUGGAAGUCUGUGAAGACUACGGACAUAUACACAAAAUGAAAAAUAAAGGACAAAGUGGGGGAACGAUUCAUAAUUUAGCAUAAUUAAGUAAUCUGUGAUAGCUCAUUAAAUAGCCUACCCAACACAAAUUCAAUAAAUAUAAUGAAUGUAGAUUCUUCUUUUGCAAGUUGGAAACACAUCUUCGAAUCCCUCUCUUCUUUUGCCCGGAGAAUAGAUUUGUUUCUUUGCUUUAUUGGUUUUGCUCAGCUUUUUUCACUUCUUGUUGACUCCAGAGAAAAUAUAUUUUCACUUCCCUUUUCUUGGAGGUGGGGAAGAGCUAAGGAGGGAGUACUGGAUUAUCACUUCCUUAGAGGCAUAUAUGUGCCGCUUUGCGGCUAUGAUUUUAUGACAGUUAAUUCAACAAGCAUUUAUUUUACAAAAUCAACAGGUAUAUGUAUUUAAUACAAACAGAUACGAAAUCCAGCUUCCAAAGAUGGUCUACUUUGCAUAUAACAUACUUGCUUUAUAGACUUACAAAUUUAUAAUAUAUGUUCAAAUAGUUCAAAUUAUGCAAACAUUUCCCAAAUCAAAGAAGUCUCACAGGUUGACUUUCCCAAUACCGAUAAUUUGCAAUUACCUCUAACAUAUUUACAUUUGCAUGAAAGUCAUAAUGCAUGUUUAUCAUAAUUUAUGCGAAGUUUGUUUUUUUUUUUCUCUCUGGCAACAACUAUAAAAUGAUUGAAGAGUAUACCUUAUUCUGCAGCUGCGACUGACUAUUAUCUGUUUGAGGGUCUCUUGGAAGAGACAUUUUCAAGUUGGUCAUUUUACUGUUCAUUACAGUAUCCACUCCGUGUCCACAAAUAACAUCUGAAGCUUGAUGAGGGUAAUUUGGAUCUCUAUGACUACCUGUUCUGUUACCAUUCAAUUGACUUACCUUGGAAGUGUCGUCUUGCUCAGGCACAAAAGUAGACAACUCAUUUUCCCCACGACAACGGAUUCCUUUGUGGUCCUUUUGUAGACUGGAAUAGUUAUUGAGAGAAGGAUGCCAUUCUCUUUCAUUUUUUUUGAAAUUUGGAAAAGGAUUAGCUGCAGGAUUACCAUUCAUGGUUUCCACAUCCUUCUGAGUAACUGAACCCCUCCAAAGGAUUCUAUUGUUCCAUGGAACUACAUUAGUGGGCCCUUCAAAAACCACAGGUUCCUUGCUUGAAUUCGGGUUUCCAGAUGUGCCGGGUUUAGAUUCUAUGACGUUCGAUGAUAUUGAGUGUGGAAUUCUGCAAGAAAAUUCAUUGUGAUGUGCAAAGAUAGCAACACUAUCCACUGCAACUUCACUUCUAUUUUCGUUUAUCUCCCAAAUUUCACAUUGAUCUUUAACUUCAGAUGGCGUUAAGGACAUAGAGUAUGGGUCGACUACUGGAAACUUUUUACUUUUCUUCCUUCUUAAACUACUGUUUCCAUCCAUUUUGUAGCUGCACCAUGGGCCCUUCAUGGUACUUUUCAUUCCUGAAGGAGCAUUUUCAGUUCCUAAACAAGAAACAGAGCUUUCUAUCUCGCCCCUCCAUGUUUGAAUUUGCUUAUCCACACUGGAAGAAGAAGGAAUCUCUUGAUGCCUACAUUUUCCAUUCCUAGCCAACCUUCUUUCUCUUUUAUGAUCAGGAUGUGAAGCGUCUUCCUCUAUAGUUACCUGACAUUUGGAAGUAAACCUCACAUCUGCCUGCUCAGAUGCCUCAGGAGACCCAUCGGAUGGAGAACUUUGAUCAACAUGUUUAACUACCAUAUUUCCAUUGUCUCCUAACAAAUCAGUCAAUAGGCGAAUCUUUGGAGUUCUUCGACGAUGUAAUCUUCCUAGAUGGCAAUUAUGAGGACUGUUUCCAACUGUCUCAGCACUUUCAGAUGAUGAAACCGUGCUUUCAUUUGAUUCCAUAGAAGCAUCGCCAUUUCCUUGAACUUUAACAGUAUGAUGCCCAUGGACUACGUCUACCAUAUCGUCCUUCUCUGAUACCAACAAGGUUAACUGUCCAUUUAGACAAUCUGCAGGAGUUUGUUUUCCAUCCUGAAGUGCUGCAAGGCUUUCCUCAGCUGCUUUGAGAGUGAGAUUUCUACUAACAAGCUCAAUCUCAGUAACUCCAUGACUUGCACAACCUGGCUCACUUUGUGAUAUAAGAGCAACUGUUUCAGAUACCAAAAAUAAUCUGAUUAUGGAAAAACACAAAUGCCUGAUUAGGAAAGAAGUACUAUUAUUAGGUACAAAUGUAAAAUUGGAGAAAUAUUUUGCAGCAUAUAUCGAGGAGCUAUAGAUUGUGAUCAACUUCGUAAAGACGAUACUGAGAGAUAACAGAAGCCUUGUCAAAGGGAAAUUCAAGUAGCCACAAUCUUACUAAAGUAGAAUUAUAAAUGCACCGUGAAUCCAUAUGAAACAAUCAUUAGCUAGUCUCAAACAGCAGAGCCAUAAAUCCUUAACAUUGUGCAAAUGAAUAUAUAAGUCGCUAUGAAUCAUCAUAACAAGAGUAUCCAAAAGUCAAUUUAUUGCUUUUGAGUCAGUCUCAUGAUGUGUAUACACAACAAAGACAUGCCAAAAAGAAAAAUAGAAGGGGACAGAAAAGGAAAAAACCUACCAGUGCAGUUAUCUGAUCUAUCUGCAACAUUAAGUUUCUUUUCCUUCUGAUCAUAAUAUGAAUUAGAAACAUUAUCAGCCAUUAUUGUUCUUCCACUGAUUACAUCUUGUUUUGAAGCAUUUGGAGAAGAAUUUGAAAAUUUUCCAAGGUUAUGAUCAAAUAGGAAACCUUGAUCUGCAUCUUUAUCAGAAGUCUCUUGCCAAUGAAUCUUGCCUUGGUACGCGUCGAAACUCGGAUCUAAUACAGAUGGCACCGAGGCUAUAGGCUCAUUCAACUUAUGGCCAUUAUCAAUAAUAUCAGAAAAUGGCGAACAUAUCUUCCAAUCCUUUUUGUGCAUAUCAGACACAUAACCACUGUUACAAGGAUAUCGAAUCAAUAAGGGUAACUAACGCUGUGUGUGUUUCCCUAAAAAGAUACAGCUACAGUACCCAUUAACUUGGAUAAUAAACCGUUUUGAUCAAAAGGUCCUUAUUAUAUAAUUCAUCGACACUUUGAAGUUCAAGCUACGUUGAGUAGUAAAAAGAGACUUAAGUGUCACCUAAUAGUAAUUUGCUUUCUUUUUUUUUUCUUUUUGCAUUCAAUGAUAUCUGGAAAUUCGAACAUUCAACUUCUCGGUAUGAGUUUUAAAUAUUCCUUAACUAGUUAAGUUAUACUUAAGAAAAAUGCUCAUAAAUUUAAAGUGCCCUACUCCCCUCCCCCUUUCCUAAUCUAGCUUCAAUUUAGCUCGUGAAACAACUACAGACUAACGAGCCCCAAAUGUAAUUUGUUUCCCAAUAAUGAUAUGCCCUAAGAGAUACGAUGGAUAGGCUAAAAAUAUGUGAACCUAGUUAAGAUGUUUGAGUGCACUGUUGAUCUCUUUUGUCAAAUAUUUUCAACUUGAACAUGAACAACUUAGUAACUAAGCCAUUUGAAUCAUCUCAAAAUAAGUCUUAAAGACACGCUUACCGGAUGGAGAAAAGUUCACAUUUCUGGUCAUCACAUAUAUGAUCGGAGCUAAAUAGAUCAAUAUAUAUAGAAUCAAUCUGAACAAAAUUUCUUGCAGGCCUGGAAUCAGUCCCAUCAUGAUGAUUAUUCUCUUCCAUCACGUUAAUUCUAUGCAUCAUUAUAUACAAUUCCCCCUUCAAGAAAUGUAAGACUACCUAUAUAUAUGUGUGUCCAAUCAUAUUCAUCAGUUAAUUAUUAUGACAACGAAAAAUAUAUAAUGUAAUUAUAUUUAAAAAAACAAAAAAACAAAACAAAAAGACCUAAAUCUCAGAUUUGGCACAUAAAAUAACAGUCUCCAAAACUGUUGCACGAAACAAAACCCUAAUUUUAAAACAUUUGUAUUAGGAAUAUAUAUACACACAUAUAAAUUAUUAAUUUUUUUUGUUUAAUGGAAACUAAAUAAUUCAUAUGCUAAUUAUAGAACUAGGGUUUUGCGACAUUACAAAUUUAAGAACAAUAUUUAACAAAUCAGCAGAAAUUUCCAAGAGAAAUAUCCAAAACAAUACAUAAAAUAUCCCAAUAAUAAGUGAAUUUAUAUAUUUUUUUAAAAAAAAAAGCAUAAUAAAACACAUGGACGGUGAAAACUGAGCUGAAGUUCCUAAAUAUCUAAGCUCAAAAAGAAGUUAAAACCAUGAGAAUAAAAAUUGAAACAGAUGAAAAACUAAAAUUAAGAGAGAUAAAAAAGGCGAAGAUGUUACCGAAAGCUAUCGGAAAACGGCGUCGUUCGGCGUUAAGUCGGAGCAUCGUUGGAACUGUACGGGAAUUAGACAGUCGCCGAUGAAAGGAAAAUCAUGUUCGAAGCUCAAUGAAAAAUCAUAGGGAGAAGGAGAGAGAAUGAAAAAUAAAAAUAAAAGAAUUUCUCUCUUUUUUCUUUUUCUUUUUUUUGGAAUUUUAGAGAGAGAAUGUUGGUGGGAGUUUUUAUUUAUUAUUAUUCUUUUUAUUGUUGGAAGGAAGGUUUUUGCUGGAAGAAAAAUGCCCAUGCCGGUUGCCAUGUCACUUACAUGAGGGAGAGAAGAGAGGUGCAUAUCCAAUAGGAACUCGCCACGUGAUGAACCGAUGUGAAGUUGAAAAAGAAACCCUAAAAAUUAAGAGUGUGUUAGUACACGCUCGCGGGUUGUUGAGCGUGGGGGUUCUUCCUUUUGAGAUGUUCCGGUCUUAUCAACUAUAAAGAAUGAUGCCUUGGCACAUAAGAGCAAUUUAAAUGGUUCGUGUUUAACACGCAAUCUUCAGGCGAGUGCUUAUGGAAUUCCACUGCUGAAACCCUAAUUUUUCUUUUUUCUUUUUCUUUUCCAAUUCUUAGCCGAAUAAUCGGGUGGUAAAAGAAAUACACAGCUUUUUUUAAUAUUAAUUAGUUUAUAAUAAUUAAUAACAAGUCAUUUUAAAAAAUAAUAAAUAUUUAUAAUUGAUAACAAAAACUUUUAAUUCUAAACAUUAACAAGUCUAUCAUUUUCUAUUGUGGUGGAUAGAAUCUAAAAUUAUAAAUUUUACUCUAAUUUAUUUUGUUAUUUUUAAAAUAACUUUAAUAUUACUAUAUCUUAUUGUAUUUGAAAAAAGUUGUUUCAUAAUUCAAACCAAUUAUAUUUAUUUUUUUGUUUCGCCCAGGUGGAAUUUUCUUUAAAUGUUGUGUAAAAAAAAGUUUGGAAAUAAACAAUGUAUUAAUUAGACAUCAUAAAUUGAUUUAAUUAAUUAGGACAAAAUUAUCUAAAAAUUGAUGCCUAGUCUAUGAGGAGCCAUGGGUUUUGUGAGUUAGGUAAUUAGGUUGGGUUAAAUCACUUCUUAGAAUCAAUCUAUGGUUAAAUUUUGUUAUUUAUUAAAUAAUCAACCAACAAAUUAUUAUGUUGGGUCACUUCGAAUUACUAUAAUUGUUUAUUUAAUUAAUCUUGUAUAUUGAAUUAAGAUUAUAAGUAACUCAAAUUCAAUUAAUAGAAUGAAAACUUACUUUUCAAAGUAAUUAAAAAGUUUAGCUUAAAUUAUCUAGAAAAAUAAAGAGAGAACAGAAUUAGUAUAAAUGUAUGUAAUAUAAAUAAUGUAUCAUAAAUAGAAAACUGUGUUUUUAGUAAUUAAUAAUAAGUUAAUAUUGGAUUUUGUUAUUUCAAAGUGGUCGCAUUUGAUUAUUUGAGCUCAACUUAACCUAGCUAAAUGAAUUGAUAACCCAAUUCAAAUAAUUCAAAUUGGAUUAGUCAUUGUUCGACUAUUUUGGUUGCUGAAUUUUAUUAACACCCUUGUCAAGUGGUACGCUAUAAUUUAUUACUUUAUUAAUUUCCACUCUAUGUUAUAAAAUUAUACUUUUAGUAAUUUAUACACUAAAUAUACAAUCUAACCAGUUAUUUUCAACGUGUAUAUACACAUAGACAAUCUAACACUCUUCCAAGAGUAGUAGAAAUUCAAAUUGUAAAAAAUAGUAGAAAUUCUUAUUCAAAAUAUCGAUAAAGGUUUAUAAUGAACCAAAAUUAGGACAGGAAUGAAAAAAUGGAUUUGGCACAAGGUUAAUUAACUAGUCAAUCUCAAAACAUAUUAUUAAAGGUAAACAUAUAAAUUAAAAUGAUGAGAAAUGCCUUUUUUUUUUUUAAUAAUUACUGAAUGGAGUUAAUAGCCACUUUACAUCAUUAAAAUUAACAGCUACAUCGUUUUCAAACCAUAAAUUUAAUAAUCAUUUGCUUGAUUUAUAGUUUAUAAUACUUUUGGAAUUUUCCCUUCAAAAUAGUGGGAUUUUCUUUAAAUAAAAAAGAUUGCCUCUCCCUAAAUAUUAGUCUAAUUUUUCCAUUUUAAUUUUAUAAUCAAUAAACAUUAACUUUAGUCUUCCAAAACUGGUUAUAUAACUAUAAUACAAAUUAUUGUAAAUAUAUGUCUUAUAUUAUAGUAAAUACUUUAAAAAUUUUAAGUAAGGAGUUUUAAGGGAAAAUCGUUCAGGAACCAUAAACUUAAAAGUAAAAUAUUAAAACAAUUAAGUAUCUUAAAGUUUAAAAAGAGUGGUAGAUCUCUGUAGAUAGGUAGUAUUUAAUUUGAAUCAAACCCAUAUUAAUUAGGUUAUAAAGAUCAUUUCGGUCGCACUCCAAAACUUAUUUUAUUUCAGCUUUCUAUAGUUUUAACAUGAAUAAAUUCAAUAUAUAUAUGAAUCACAUACUUUUUUUUUAUAUAUACAAAAUGUAACAAAUAAUGUAAAUACGUGUCAGUAGUGGACGUAACUGUUUAUAUAUAAAUUAGUUUGGGGAUUGUAUUUACAUGUCAAUAUUGUUUCAUGGCUUCUUUAAAUAUAUGUAUAUUAUUUCAUGACAUGUAAUGUAAUAUUCUCCUCUUCCAAAAUUAGAUUAACCAAUUUUUCUUAAACGCUUGUCAUAGAUACAGUAGAAGACAAAAAAGUACAUAAAGAAUUUUUCUUUAAAGAAAACAGUGAUAUUAUACAUACAUGUUAAUUAGAUAUAAACUUAAAUAAAAUAGAAUAACAAUUAAAGUGAGUAUAAUUUACAAUAUUGUCAAAAGUUCAAUAAUAGUAGGAACUUUUAUGUAGCAUUUCUUAAAUAAGUUAUUAUUUAUUUAUAGUUAUAGAUGUAUGUUCGAAGAUUCAAACCCCUUUAAUUUUAUGUUCUUCAUAUAAUAUAAUAGUUUUAAAGAAAAUCAAUAUAAUAUAAAAUAAUUACUCUUCAUAUAAUAUAAUAGUUUUAAAGAAAAUCAAUAUAAUAUAAAAUAAUUACUAUAAUUAACUCAAUGGUUAAAUGCAUAUUCUAAGAUCUAAUUCUAUACUCUACUGUUUGAAUCAUUUAAGUUAUUAUAUAAAGUAUUUGACAACAAAAUCUUUAGAUAAAACACUUACCAAUGAUAACUUGUUUUAAUAAAAGUGCACAAAGUAAUUCUCAAAUUUCGUGAAGUAGAAUGAUAUUUUACAUCUAAAAGAUUGUAGAAAAAAUAAAAGAUUGUUUCAAAUGAUAAAUAUUUAUAAAUAUAGCGAGUUAUAAAAAAUUAUUUGUAACAAAUACAUGAACAGUUUGAUAUUUUGUAAUUCAUUAUAAAUAAAAUAUGAUAUUUUGCUACAUUUAAAAUAGAAAGUUGGCGUUAAAAAAUAAUAAGUGGUUGAUAAUGUUGGCGUUAAAUAAUAACGAGUGGUUGAUAAUUAUCGACACAUGUGAAGCCCUAAAGUGAUUUGGUUAAUUUUGUGGAAAAGUGUUUCAUACAUGGAAGCCACGAUUUUCCCAAACCUCCGCGGAUGAUUAUGUCUAUAAUUUUUAUACAUAAAAGUUACUUUACAAAUAUAUAACAAGUACAGUUUUUAGAAAACAACCAAAUAAAAACAUGAAUUUUUGCAAUAUGUUUCAUACACUUGAGAAAAAGAAAAGGACUCGGGAAUUUUAAUUAGGUUUAUAUCAUUCAAUUAAAUUCAUAAGUAUGCUUUUGUUUUGAUUUGAUUACCAUGGUUAAUUUUAUCGACAUAUUCAUUACAAAUUCUAUGGAAGGUGAAUUAUGCUCAGUUUCAGGUGAAUGUUUUUUAUUUUGAAGUAUUUAACGUUUUACUGAUGGUAAUUUAAAAUCUUUUAUUGAAAUAUUAGAACUAAUCUCAUUUUAGUUUUUCCUUUUUCCAAAUGUUAAUUUAAUCACUGACUCUCAAAACAAAAUUCACUAAGAAGAAGGUAACCGUAGGCUAAUUUCAAGAUUAAAUAAGUUUACAUUAAUUAUAAUAUCUGAGCGUAUGUAUAUAUAUUAAGAUAGGAAAAACUAAAUAGAUCAAAAUAAUAAUAACAUGAAACUGUUUGUAUAAACUUUUAAAGUAUAUGUCGACUAAAUGGAUAUAUAUAACCCUACAUUUUAGAGAUCUAUUAAAUUCUAAAUACAAGAGCUAAAUAAAUAUGAUUUAAAGAGUUCAAACGGAAGCAUAUAAAUAAAUAUAUCACUUAAAUAAAACAAACUUGCACUCACCCAUUUUCCUCGUUUUGUCUUCAGAAAUAGUUUCCUACUCUCAGCUUAAAUGAUUUGAUGUUUUGGGUUCGUGUUUUUUCUUUUUUCUUUUUAAUAAGAGAAUAUUUCUAGAGAAAAUAGGAAGUAUUAAUAGGUGAAAUAAUGAUAAUCUUUUUAUAAAAUUGAACCCACUUUAUAAAUAUUUAGUCUUUUAUUAAUGGAUGCUAUUACUAUAUUUAUAAAAUAUUUAGAAUAAGUAUCGGUAAUAGAUCAAUAUUUACCUCAAUAUGGUGAUUUCUAUUAUUGAUAGAAUUUGAUAAAUUUAACUAUAUUUAUAAAUCUUUUAUUUAAUUAUUUUAAAUUUAAUUGAUAAGUCUAUAACUUGUAAAAAUUAAUUAUAAAAUAAGAUUGUGUAAAACAAAUAGCUUUAAUAAUUUUUUUUCUUUCUAAGUCACAUAGGUUUUGCACACACCAUGUGAAAAUAAUAUAAUAUCCUAACAAGAUAAAGGCAAAUUUGCAAUAAUAGUAAUCUUGCAAAAAAAAAAUCUCAUUUAAUUCAAAAAAUAAGUCAUUUUGAAACAAAAAUAUAUUCAAAGUAAUUAUAGAAAACGAACUUUUUUUAAAAAAUCAAACUUAUUUUAAAUAAUUUUUUAUCAAGCUAGUCACUUUUAUUCUAAAUUCAAUUUGUUUCAAUAUUGCAUAAAGACACCAAAUUUUUAUAAACGGACACCUUUUAGCAAUACAUUAUUUUUUUAAUAAAAAAAAAAAAAACAAUCUUCAUCAAAAUCUAAGAAGAAAUCUAAAUAAGUAUUGAUUUCUUAUAUUGAAGACAGAACUAUCAACACAUAGAACAUAUUAUGACCAUCUAGUGAACAGAAAAUAAAAGUGAACACACACAAGAUGGAAUGUGCUUUACUACUUUACAUAAGAUGUCUGGAUUUUAUCAAAUUUGUUGGUGUGACCAAUAGCACUUUCUGCAAUCUUCUUCUUGACAGCAGGAACGAUAAAUUCAACGUCACCCCUUUUUGGGCAUGGCAGCAAGCCUUGUGUACAUCCUUGCCAUUGAUUGAUAUCCUCGGGCAUCGCCCGAACGCAGAAGGUUUCCUGUAAACAGCCACAAAAUCAGGGUUAUUGGCAUCGUCUCUGGAAACUGCAUGAGUCUGAUCCUGAAAUAGUUUAUGAAACUGAGCAACAUGCUUCAGUCAGUUCACAUCCAAGGGCAACCCUAUUGUUCGAGAUGUUGGCAGUUUCUCUCGAAAGGUCUGUCCUGUGUUCAAGCUAACAUAUGAAGAGUUUAAGCCCGUAUGAUAACUAUUUGAUUUUUUUAAAACUACACUUAUAAAUAGUACUUUCAUCGACAAGUAUCUUUGGUUUGUUGUCUACUGUCUGUCUAACAAUGUUUGCAUAAUCUACCCCAACUUCUCAAACGUAACAAACGAAAAGGUAGUUUUAAAAACUUGUUUUUGUUUUUGAAAUCUAAUUUUGGAAAUCAAAAAUUCAUGUGGCUAUCAAGCAGGUCUCAAUCAUUUGUAAUCUAACUCUAGUCCCUCUGGAAGAUGGCUUAGGAAGGGCUACGCUUUCCAAAAAGAUUAGUGGAUGUGGUUCCUGAACCUAACAAACAUUUCAUUCCUCAAAAAGCAUCCACUCCCCAACAUAAAGGAUUUACAAGAAGACCAUCUCAUCUAGGUAAACAAAGUCGGUCUACGUUGGCCACUUACUCCGGUUCAGAGGUCCCCUAAUAUCUCUUACGCUAAAAUAUAAUCAGUCGAUUCGAUUCUAAGAAUAUAUAAUCGAACAUUAGUCAAUCAACUGGUACAACUCUAGUGUUUCUUCUAGAGAGGUAAAAAUCAAUGGAAUUAGAAGAAAACAAGCAUGAAUUUGAAAACUAAACAAAAUCAUUAUUGAACGGGUUCUAAAACUACUUUGCUACAUUAUCAACUAUCACACCAUCACAAAGAUUCAAAGAAAUAAGCAUGUAAAUCAGAACAAAAAUCAUCAUAAGGAAUCCAUGUGAACUCACCCGAAUCACAGUUUAGUGGGCUAUCAGGUUCGGGAUGAGCCAUCAAAGCAAUUAUAGCCCUGCAAACAGAUUGCAGUGUCCAUGCUGGGCUCCAUGCAUUCUUCAAUAUAUCUAGACAGAUCUCACCCGUCUGCACAAAGGAACGGCGAUAAAUGUAAAGUGUUGUUCAAUUCAACAACUGAAGAGAUUUAUGUUUGUAUCAUGUAUGCUUAAUGACAAAAAUGAAGUGUACUAAGAUUAAGAUUCACCAUAAAAUAAAACUGCAAUCACACAAGGUAUCAACAGAUGUGAAUGAUCACUGAAUUGCUCCGUAACAAGAAUUCCACUCAAAAUUAUGUCUAUAAAAGCACCAGUCAAGAAUUCCACUCAAAAUUAUGUCUAUAAAAGCACCAGUCCUCAAAAUUCCAUAAGAAAUGCUUCCCACUGCCUAUCCCAUCGCACAUUUGAAGGAGAGGUUAUUUUCAAACUCCCACAUAGAGUGGUUCAACUUUUAAGUUUGUAACACACCAUAUCCAACACUUUAUGACAACUAUUUAAAUUCUUCAAUACCAAUUGUUUCGUCAAUUAGACGGAUUUCAUCACUGCAACUAUCGUAAUACCUUCAACAAUAGGGUCAUCCACCCGAUUCUCUUGUGGUGCCUCCCUAGAAUCCACAAGAUGAUUUGUGUGUAAUAACUACUCUUUCUUGGACAAUGGAACCCCUUACCCUAUUAUUGUCCUUUCCUCCCCCAUGAUUACCUCCUUAUAAUCCUUACAGCAAUCUUGCUGGUAGAAAAUUAUCAAAUUUAGUAUAGAUUGGACAUGGUCGGCAGCUAGUUGGAGUUGGUGGGCUUUCUUAGGGUUUCCUUAUUUGGUAUUUAAGGGAUCUCAGAGUACACUGAAGGUUAUUUGGGUGUAACUUCAUCAGUUCAUGUAGGUACAUUUGGGAAUAUGAUGCAGAUAUCAGCCAACUAUAAUUCAUAGGAAACAAUAAAAUUCACAGUUGUGACAGAAGGGCUCAUGCUCAUAGUUAGUGUAGGAUUUGGAAAAAAAAAAAGUCAAGGUGACUUCUACCUUAAAAUGAACAUUUGGGUGGAAAAUUUUCGUUAAGAACCGCACUUGAGGAGGUUGCAAAGGGUAUUGCUCAGGAACGGCAAAGGCGAGCUGGAAGACACCACCUUCAAAAGGAGUCUCUGACGGUCCCUAAAUAACAUGCAUAUCAAUCAUGUUAAAAUUUAAAAACAACUCUGAAAUCAACAUUUCAACUGAAUCAUCGAGAGAGUUACCUUGAUCAGGGCCGUCCAUUUAAAAAUAUUGGAGUCAUCACAAACCAAUUGAAUAUCUGGAUCUGCUACCUUUUCUCUUUGAACCUCUUUGUACUCCUUGAACAACCUUGCUCUUGAGGCCUACACAAAAUCAAGGUUUUAAUAGGCAUAACCUUGAGACUUUUCCUCUUAACAAGGCCAGGUAUAGGCCUUAAGAAGGUAUGAGGCAUAACCCUCAAUUUUAGUUAAAAAAAAUUAUACAGAACCUAAAUGUUUGUGAUUGAAAAUAAUAGUUACAUAAAACUUCAAAUAUCAAUUGGCACUUGUGUCUUUAGCCUAUGAAGUAAAAGUAUUAAUAGUUGUUCAGUAACAAAGAUACGUGAAGCUAAUUGAAAUCACCCGUUAACCAUAACCAUAACCAUAAAGAUAUAAAAGCAAAUCAGUCUUCUACAAUUAUGGGUAAGUAUGAGGUAGAAAUUCACUAUCAUACAGGGGAUAAUAAAAGCCUGACCUGAGAGAAACCAUAUAAAAUUACAAUUACAUUGAAAAAACAAAAUGCAGAUGAAUCCAGAAAAAUAUAAAAACUUCAAAGAAAAUCCAUAUACUUCACGUUGUUACUCAUCAGUCAUCACCACAUCAUAACAGAGACGUAAAUACAUUUCUAUGCCUUUUGUAAUUAUUCACUAGGUCCCAUUCCUUAUUGUGGUUGACACUCAACUACAAUUGUCGAUCUUUUUGUAUGUUUUUGUAUUAUUUUUCUUUUCAAUGAAAGUCAGGUUUUCCAUUGAGAAAAUACACAUCUAUACAACUAGGUAUAGUGGCUAACCUGCAUUAUAGAUUCUCCAAGAUUAAACACGCGGUUUCAAGCCUUAUUCUCAGACCAGCAAAAUUACCGGCCGACAAACUGCAACCGGUAUAAAAGAAAAGCCUCUACACAAGAAGAACAAAUCAUAAUGAGUAAAAUCAUAAGGAUUUGUAGAACGCAUAAUAUCAAACCCUAGAGAAGAAAUUCCAGGUGAAAGGAAUGAAAGAAAGAGAAAUUCAUAGACUAUAGAGUUCCUUUGAAUGGAGAAACUUAAAAAAAAAACACAAAUUGACGGAAAUCGAAAGCAACUAUAGAUUUCUAAAGGCAGAAGAACCAACAAUUCGAACAAAUCGAAGAUUAUACAAAAUAGAACAACUCACAAUCAACAAUAAGAUCGAUUUGUCGUCCAGAAACGAGCUCGAGACAGCUCGGAGAUGCUGGAAAAGGGGGAAACGCCGAAGACUUAAUCGGAGAUGAUAUCUAUGGAACGUACUUUGCGGUCUAUUGUAUUCGUAUCAGCAACCACCGGCCGUCUUCCGUAAUUCGUAGCUUCUCGUGAUGAUGAAUCUCGGGAAUUGAAAUAUUUUUAUAUCUUUUCUUAUUUUUGCAUUUGUCAAUUCUCCAAUAAUGUUUCCGUGUAAAUAAUUUUUUAUUUAUAAUAACAAUUAACAAUCUCUCCUUUUUCAAAUCAGGAAAUAUUCACAUUUAUUCGGGGAUUCAAACGUAAGUCGCAAAACAUAAUAGAUAAAUUUACAAGUUUAGCCCUUCACAUUUGGAGGUUCGUAUCCAUCUUUUCCCUUAAUUCUAGAACGUGUUUAAUAUGUGGCGUUAUUCAAAUUCCACACCUUUAUAUUUUAAAUAUUCUUGAGAAGGGUGAGAACAUCCGUUUCAUCCUCCUCUUGAAUCAUAUUUGUUUGAUUUAUCCACAAUUCUAGCAUGUCUCAUGAGACUUACCUCAUACAUUUAUUUUACUUUUAGUUUUUCAAUUACUCGGUAACUUUAGAUGAUAUAUAUAAAAAAAAAAUCUUCAGUAACUUUAGAUGAUAUAUAAAAUUAGAAUGUAAUCAAGAUUAUAGCAGUGUUGAAAAGUUUGAAUAAUCAAAGACGAAAAGAAAAUGAAAUUUGAGAAUGAAGAAAAAGAGAGAUGAAAAUUUAUCUGAACAAAAUGAAUUUUACGUUUCAAAACAUUUCAUUCAAACGUGAGUUUUAUAUUAAAUGACAUUAUAAACAUAUUUCAUUAUGAGUUACCAAACACCCUAUUAAGACUUUUCAAUUUCUUCUAUAGGAUUUCAUAUGUCCAAAAUUGUGAACUAGGUUUUGGUUUCACUCAAAGUCUUACGAAAGAAUGUUCUAUCUCACUUGUACCACAAUUUUCAUGUCAUUAGACAGCGUGAGAUUUCAUUAUAUUUCAUACCAGAGACUUCUCUUACCUUUUUAACAUAACUCAAUCAAAGGUUUCAUAGGUUAAAAAUGCGUCAACAAAACAAUGUCUAUUGAUUCUAAUUUAAAAACAAAACAGCUUAGUUUUAUGUAAACAAUUUCAUAAACUCUCUUAAGCAAAACAGUACAAGAUACAAGUAGUUAUUACGGAUCAUGUUAAAAAAUUUAUUGAAAAACAACUAAAAUAAUGAGAGAUGAACUUUACACUAAAGUUAUUUAUUAAAAAAAAAAGAGGGAAAAAAAUCAACAAAAGGUCAAAUUUAAUGUAGGUGGUCUCCCAAGGCUUUUUCCUUUUCUCUUUUCCUUUUUCCAUCCCUCUACAAGAAAUAUACACGAUUUCAUCAAUACUCAAACAGGCAACAAGAAUGAGGGGCCAAUGGCAAACACUAUAUGUAUGCAAUGUGAAAACAGGGAAGCAUAAAAAAAAACAAAGGAAAAAGGUGAGGCGGUCAUUUCACAUGCUACCAGCUCUGCCAGGAGUGGAUUUCGCGGGUUUGAAUUUUGCAAUGUCCACGAGGUCACCGAACAGUUUGUCCUCUGGUUUAUUGACUGGCUUCAUGGGAGGCACAUAAGAUAGAGCAGAAGCUUGAGAAGACGAAUUGCUCACACUCAUAUCAUCUCUAACAGACAGGCCAUACAUUUGCUGCUCUAGAUAUUGGGGCAUUUGCGGUUGACCAUGACCAUAUCCAUAGCCAGGGUUGUAUUGGUUGUGGUUGCCAUACAUUUGUUGAGGGUAAUAUUGUUGUGUCAUCUGGUUAGCUUGUGGAUGUUGUUGAGGCAUUGGCAUACCCAUAUUUUGCAUGCCUGGGAUCUGCUGCGGAGGCAUUGGCAUACCCAACUGAUGGUUUGGAUUAACAUGGCUAUUCAUGUUAGACAUUUGACCACUCGUUAUCGGCUGGAUGUACAUACCUAUACCUACAACCUCAUUCCCCAUUGAUUGAGGUCCCUGGGGAUGUCCACCAAGUCCGUGUGAGACAAUAACCUGAGUAGUAACCUGCAUUGGUUGAGAGUAAUGAGAGCCUGCCACUGGGCUGCCAUCAUCAGAUGACUGAGCUUCCCAGGGUGGAGGUGGUAAUGAACCAAUUUGCGAUCCUGUCACACAAUCAAAUAUCAUGUAAGUCUUGCAUAUGUUCACACUUCACAUUGAACUCGAAAACAAAAAUGUCAAGCAAAUGGUAGGUGAAAUUCAUGCAGUAACUAAGAGAUGUGCGCAACAGAACAGCAGAAGGAACACAGAAAACUUGCGAGUCCCAGGAAUACGCAAACACAAAGAUGUAGAAUUCUGCCAUGUUUCAGCAAAAUCAUGAUGGAGAAUUUUAAUGCAAGCUAAGUGUAGAUAAAAAUACCAUAGCCAGGUGAAUGGGGUUGCUGUUGCUGCUGAGGAGGAGUUUGACCAUUCCAGGCAGAACCUACGCCCUGCAUGUACAUCGAUUGCUCGUAAUUAGGUGAACCCAUGUUCAUGACGUUCCCAUUUGGAUACAUCCCAGCUUGAGGGGAAUGAACAUUAGGUUGCUGCUGCUGCUGCUGCUGCUGCUGCUGUUGCUGCUGCUGCUGCUGCAAUUGAGAACCAUGUGGAUGCAGGGGUUGCGCACCAGGAUUGACAGGAGGGGGAUUUGCAGGAUUAGAGGCACUGUUACUAUCAGAGAACAUGUCAAAUAGAACAAGAGCAUUUUGAUCCGACACAGGAGGAUUGGGUUGUUGCUGUUGCUCUCCAAGAGGAACAAGAGCCAACGAAGUCUCUGCCUUUGGUGAAUUGAAGUCACCACUCAGCAAAUCGACAUUGGGGUCAACUCUACCUGCAGGAGCGGGCCCAUUAGCUGCACCAGGUGCAGGAAGCAAUAACUGGUUCAGGGUUUGAGAACCUUCACCAGUAUUCGAGGUGGCAGCACUGCAGAACAAGUAGACGUAAAUACACAACCAACAUGAGGUUAAUCAUGACUUAAAUGACCAUGACCAAAUCUUUAAGCAUUCGAUGAAACUUUGCGAGCAUCAUCAAUCUUAACAUUUAAAAAGUUCGAGCAAAUCAAUGCAAUAUACUAUGAGUUUCCAUACUGCAAAAAGUAAUCUACCCUAGAAGAUGUAAUUACUUUGUCUCAGGCUGUUUGCUGUUAUCUCCAGUGUCAAUAAGGGGCCGGUCUACAUCAAUGAGCGUCGUAGCAGAUUCAGACUUUGGUUUCUGAACAACAGGAUUUCCAGAAGAAAUAGAUUCAUGCCUAGCAAGUAGCCUCUGAAGAUCAUCAUUAAGUGCAAGUCCUUGGCAAAGCAAUGACUCAUCCCUGUACCCGGGUUACAGAAUAAAGUUAAAUACAUGCACACAUAAAUUGUGACUCUCCAGUUAGCAUUCGUUAAUGUACAUUUCAUGAACUAGUUGUUCCAGAAUAAGUAGACCAGAAAGCAACAUACAAUGCUUCUGCUACUUGAAUUACUUUAUAGUACUUUAAGCAAACUCACGCCCCAUACAACAAAUUCACAAUUAACAUCGAGUGUAGGCCAGGUUACCAAAACACUAUCCGUACAGUUGCAUUACAAGUAAUUACUUUCGUUUUUUAUACAAAUCAAUUGAAAGUUGCUGGAUCCCUUUAUGUAGAGGGGUUCCCUUCUUGUGUGGGCUUGUUUUCUUUUGUGUGCCCUUGUAUUUUCUUUCUUCUGAUUUCCUCAAAUGAAAGUCAUUUUAUCAUAAUAUGUGUACACAUAUAUAUUGAAAAUCUUAUGUAGUUCCUUGGCUCAAGAAAGAAAUGUCCACCUUCCCCAGUUAUGUAUUCUUUCUUUCUUUCUCUCUCUCUUUGAUGAAUUUAACGAAUAAGGAAAGAAAUAAGGGUUAUUUACAAAUUUAGUAAAAUGAACUACAAUAUUUAAAAAACAUUGCAAAAUAUCACAGUCUAUCUAUGACAGACAACGAUAGACCAAGAUAGACAACUAUAUGUGUCUGUUCAUAUCAUGAUAGAUAUAGAUAAUAGUCUAUCACAGAUAGAUUGUGAAGGCUAUAUUUGUAAAUAUUUUCAAAAGUUUUGUCUGUUAUAAUUCUAUUUUUGUAAAUAUUUUUGUUAUAUUUUCUUUUUUUGGGUUUUUCAACAUUUUCCUUAUUUGGUCAACAUUGUGGCUUUUCUUUAGUUAAUGCAACAAGGUAUUCUGAUUCUCUCUCAAACCCAAGUGUUUUACAUGGUAUCAGAGAGUUCAAGAAGAUUAGAGUUUUAAAAUUGAGGACAAAAAAAUUGAUUUAGUAAGAUGGACGAUUCCCAAUCCUAUAACAGGAGUGGAGGUUCCAUCAGCUAUAGUGACAUUAGGCAAAGAGGUAGAUGUACAAAUGUUAUUCUCUAACCUUUAUAACGAGGGAUAGAGAAUAGAUGUUCCUUUGUACAGUGCAUCUACUUCAUUUUUUUUUUAACUUCUUGUUAGAACUUUUUUUUUUGUUGAUUAUGCGAAAUUACCAAAAACUCUGUUUCCUCUUUGAAACAAAAAACCCAAAAAAUAUGUUUCCUCUUUGAAUAAAAAAACCAAGUGUGUUUGUGAAAGCACAAUCAAGAACAAUAGUGUCAAUAGCAGAACUAACAUGCAUAAAAGCAACUAUAAGUAUGAGGUCUUACGCAGUUGAGUUAACAAGGUGAACCACCCUCUGCUUGUAAGUACGGCACUGGUCAACCAAGUCAACAAUAACUUCCUGUCUGAUAGCCUGCCACAUGAGAAAUCCCAACAUGAAUAGAAUCGAGAAUCCACACAUGUGAGUGACAGAAGAAUAAAAAACAUCCCAGUCAUGUCAUGAAAAAAAAACAUGGUUUUGCUUUCAUUUUAAACUAUUAAAUUACCUCUUUAUUCCCUGGUUCUAAUGCAUUAAGCAUUUCUGACAGAACGUCCAUAAUUCCACGAGCAUUUUGAAUUUCAGUCAGGCUGGAAAGUUGAAAUCAAGAUCAAUUUCAUAGAUCCAUAUUAACUAGAUUCAUAAAUGGACAAGAUACUAUGAUGAUGAAAAACGAGAAUAAAAAAUGUUUGUACACCUUAAGGUCGGAAACUCGGACUCAGCAGAGGUUUCAGCACCAUCUUGCUGAUUACGCUCGGGAUUCCGUAGAUUUGGAGGAUAUGAUGCCAAAGGUUGUGUUUGUGGAGGUGUGAAUACAGGUGCUGAGCUCUCAGAUCUCUGGGGGAAAACUGCUCCAGCACGCUGAAACAAAGAAGGUAUUAGUACUCACAUACUCAUGUCAUGAUAACUAGUGGAAAACAGUGCGCGCAUAAACAAUAAAAAAUAAAAUAAAAUAAAAACUGACAAUUCCUAAACUUUUGCAAAAAUGGCAGGAGCUCAAAGAAUAAAUCGUUCCCAAGGAAUUCAAUCAAUCUCAAUUGGGAUUUUAAAAAAUGCUUUUCAACGCUUACCAACAAUUCCUGGUACGCAGCAUAAUAUUGCGGAUAUCUUGCCCUAGGUCCUCCAAAAGCUUCUUGCCAGGUAUCUAUCAGAAUCAAUAUCUUCUCUUUGACGCGAAAAUCAGGCUACAUUAUGGCCAAAAUUGCUGAGAUGUUAUUCUAUGAGAAAAUGACAGGUGAAGCAAAAAAACAACAAAAACAUUUUAAAUGAAAUCCUACCUUCUUCUUCACCAUUUUUACCAACUCAUGAAGAAGACCCUUCUCUGCCACAUGCAUAUGAACAAUGUCCCCACAAUUCUUAAUGAUUGUUUCCAACAGCUAGAAUGUAGAGAUAUGACAAAAUCAGAAAUUAACUUAUUCCUCUAUAACAGAAUACCAAGAUUUACUGAACUGAAUAUUGCUGCAGGUAACAAAGUAAUGCAAGCUUAAAAUAUGGAUAAGCACGAUUAGUAAUACCAAAUUAGUAACUUCCUGAAGAAAUUAUUGUAGUAGCUUGAGGUAGUAUUUUAUCUCAUUAUUCUCCUUCCGCCACACAAAACCAAAGAGAAAUCGCUUAUAUCUUCAACUAACAAACUGCAUCCUUUUUUUAAGCUAACUUACUUUCCUUUUCCUUAUAAGAAAGGUAGACUUUCUAUUAAGCAGAGACUAGUAUACAAAAACAAAAAUUAAGACAUAUCUACACAGGAUUUUAACGAGCAAAUUUCUUGAUUAUGAACUUUGUGGUAAAAGACGGAUUCAAAGGACGUUUAGAGUGGGAUUAUAUAUUUAAAAACCUAAACAAAGGACUUCUGCACCACAUUGUUCUUGUGAUUAUCCCCAUUUUGAAAGCAUACUGCAUAUAAUCUCCUCUUUUUCGCAGAACACUAUCCACCUCCAUCACUUUUGAAUCUAUAUGCGUUGUAGUCGACAAUCAAAUAAUUUGCUAAGUCUUUAUGCAAAAGAGAAUGUCUAUGUCUAUUUUACCUCAAGCAGAUUCCCCUAGACUAAAAAUUCACUGCCCUUUAAUACCACCCAAGUGCAAAACGGUUGAUGCAUGCCUUAUGGCUUACAGUAUUCGGUAGCUAAUGAACAUAUAGGAUAUACCAUUCCCAAAAGAGUUUAUUUUUGUUUUUUUUUAAAUCUGUAACUAUUUAUGAUUCGCACAUCCAAUCAAAGAAAUCUAAACCCCAAACUUAAUUAAUGGUAAAUCACAGUGAUUUAACCAAGACACAAUCCAUUUAGAACAAGGAUGAGAAAACGGAUUCACAGUAGUUGUCUCCACCAGAACAAGGAAAAACAGAUUCAGGUUAGUUAGAAUAUGUUUUUUUUUCCUUCUUCUUCUGGUGAAAAAGAAGAUAACAACUGCACAAUACAACAAGCAACAUUGUCUUUGAUCCUUUUAAGAAACAAAAUCCGAAACUAACAAUAACUGCUUAGAUAUUGAUGUCCAAGUAGUAAAAAAAUUGUGCAAUCAAUAGAGUCAAUAUGACAACGAAUGCAUAGAAUAACAAAAUAAAUUAAAAAUAAGUAUAUCUUAGGACUUACCGUCAGGGCAAGAAGUUGAACUUUUGCGUUCUUGCUUCCAAGGCGUUUCUUUAUACCUUUAACGACAUCUUUCGCUUGCCUGAAAAUUUGCCAAUGAAAUAGUGAACUCCAAGCCUAAAGAUUAGACACUUAGAAAAGAUAAAUGAAUAACACAUCCAACGUUGAAAGAAAUAACCGAAGCAUCGUCAAAUUACUCCUUGUCAAGAAAUCCAAUUAAAACGAAAACCUAGUCAGUAGCAAAACCUGCUGAAAUUUCUCAUUUGUUUAUCGAGAUGCAUGAACAGUCAGUUGCUGAGUCGCAAAUCAUAAUUUCCAUUUGAAUGCAAAAGAACACAGAAAAGAAGCAAGUUUCGGCCUGUCUUCAAUAUUCAGUUUGCAAAUACAACAAAUGAAAAAUCCCAACAACAGACUUCUAGUAAUCAUUUGUUUUUGCGACGAACAGAUACUCAGCAACCAAACACAAAAAAUAACCACGCCCAAAUUCCAACAAUUAUUUCACUCAAUCAUUUAAAAAUAGCUUACAAUAAGAACAGAUAACACAACUUUUCAAAAUUGACAAAAACAAUGAUUGAAACGAAAAACGAUAAACCAAACAAUCAGAUGCAAUGCGUACCCGGGGUCAUGGUUCAACAUAUCACAGAUCUCGAUGUUCAUCGCCCAAUCUGGACCAAUCAACAUAUCGCUCGUAGCACGCGCCACCACGGAAUUCACCAUCUCUCUUCCGCGCAAAAAAUACUCCCCGAUCGGAAGAAAAAAUUCCUAUUCCGACAACCGUACAAGUUUCCACCGGCGACGGGAAACAAUUUUCCGGCUAAUUAGCUGAAUAUUCCGUCUACUCUCUCUCUCUCUCUCCCAAAAUCGCUCUCCGGCCGCGAGAUCGCCAGUAACCCCCCCUUUUUUCUCUCGACAAACAAACAAUACUUUUUUUUUCUUUUUCUUUUCUUUUCCUAUUUUUUCUAAACGCAUUUUAGUUUGCUUUCUCAUAGGCAUUAGAUGGAACUAAAACGGAAGGCCAGUUAAAUUUCGCCACGUGUAAAACAACGAUCCACUUCCGUUGUGUAGUACUGAGGUGGAAGACUUUCGUUCCAUCGGCUCGACCGACCCUUUUCCUUUUCUGUUUUUUUUUUUACCAUCAAGCGGUUCCGGUUCUUCGUUUCACCACUUUAUAUGGGUCGGCUUUUUUUCGGGAAUUUUCCCCUGCGACGCGCGACCAUGAAUCUACCCCAUCAUUGAUUGAUGUUUUUCCGUAUCCGAGUUUGACGGUGUAAUGAAGGGGAUACAUAUACACAAACGAAAUACUCCUAAAUUUAAUAUUUAUGUCAAAAGAAAUUUGAACUUAAAAAAACAAAACAAUACAUUUAUGAAAGGGACAUUUUAAAUAUUAAUAAAAAAAUUAUAAUAGAAUCAUCUAAACUAUUUGCACCACAUUGUAAAAUAUGAUUUCAUACUUUUGUCAAAUGUUCUGUCAAGGUAGAUAGAUGUUACUAUAGUAAAACGAAUUUAAGUAUACUAAUAUAUAUCAUCAAUAAACUUAGAACUUUAUGAAUAUUUUUAAAUAUUUUUUUAUUCACAAUAAUUAUCUUUUAUUAAAUUGGUUUUCGAUGAAAACCACUCGUUUUUUUGUUUUAAAAAUGCAUUGUAUUUUUUAAAAAAAUUAAUUUAUUUUAAAUUAAAAAAUGUGUAGAAUACACCUAUUGUUUGUAUAUAAAUACAAAGUUUGAAAAAACAUCAUUAUGAUAGAUAGCAAAAAAAUUAAAGCUAUUUAUAAAAUAUAUAUAUAGAAAAAGAAUACUCAAAUAAAAUAAAUUAUAAAGAGUUGGAUGAAUUUGUAAAUAGUUUAAAUAUUUUAUCAUUUUUAAAAUAUUUGUUUAAAAAUGUAAUAUUAUAAAUAUGCUAACAACUUGAUUUGAAGUUUUCCAAACAAAAUCGAUCUUUAAAACAGAUUAUAAACGUAUCAUCUUUCUUUCAUAUUUUCUCUUAUUUGUGUAAUUAUUAUACCAAAUAUCUCACAAAUUUUCAAUGCCAAAUUAUCCUCUUAAAAUUUACAAAAGUGAUAAAUUGCCAAAUACAAAAAUAACGUAUUUAGUUAUUCACUAAAUUAUCCUCUUCAAGUUUUACCUUUUACAGUCUUUUAUUUUUAAUUUUUUAAAGAAAAAGUAUUUCUUCAUAAAUAAUAAAUGUUGAGUUGAAGGGGAGGGAAAUACUUACAUACAUAUCUUAACAAACCUAAAAAAUCAAAGUUAUUUAAAGCAUUUAAACUUUUCUCCGGUGCUUUCUAAAGAUUGAAACUUUUAAAAGUACACAUACAUAUAUAUUUUAAAUUUAUGGUCUACACAAAUAUUCUACUCCAUUAAUUUUGCCCUCCAAGUGGCUAUUAUACAUUGGGGAGCUAAUUGAUUAGAUUGGUUCAACAUUUUAUUUGAUGAAAAUGACAAUAACGAGGCCACAUAUUAAUUCAUAUUCUGAAAUAUGCGUCAAUAAAGCAUAUCCACACUCUCGAAAUAUACGUAACGUCAUCUACUUCAAAAUUUGUCUAAUAACAUAGAAAUACACUGUUUUAUUAUUUGUUCACAAUAAAAGAGAAUAACGUUAACAAUAAGAUCAUAGUCCACAAAACAAACAUCUCCCAAGGCACAGGAGAACCACAAGGGCAAGAGCAUACCAAUGCAUCACUUUCCCCAAAGAUUAAUAUGUUUUGCUGCAUUAAAUAGUCAUGCAUCACUUGUCAGCCAUUAGAACUUCAUUUCUUUUGACUGAAAAAUUCUCUCGAGUUGUUAUCACCAUACUCAAUGAGAUUCUUGUAAUUAUCAGAAACUCAAACUAUUCAUUCGAUAAAGUCCUAGUGGCUUUUAUUAUUAUUAUAUAUUUAGAAUGUGUAUGGAUAGAGAUUUAGGGGAUUAGGAAAAUGAUUAUGGCCCAGACGAGUUUCUACUUUUUAGGAUUAGGAUUAAAUAAGAGAAAUUACAAUAGAUGACUAUUUUAAUAAUAAUAAUUAAGGAUACAACAACAUUUUUAAAAAAUUGCAAAUAUAACAAAACUAUCACUCAUAGACUUGUAUCGCUGAUAGACUUCAUAUACUAUAUCAGUGAUAGACCAAUAUUUGCAACAUGGUAUAUCAAUGAUAGACUUAUAUCAUUGAUAGAAUUUGACAAAUUUUGCUAUAUUUGCAAAUUUUUUAAAAUUGUGCUAUAUACUUAAUUAAUUUGAAUUUAAUUGCUAAAUUUGCAACUAUCCCAUUAAAUAACCCUACAAACUAUCCUACUUCAACUUUUCAUAACCCUACAAACUAUCCUACUUCAAUUUUUUCAUAACCCUACAAAUUUUCCUACUUCACCUUUUCAUAUCCCUACAAAUUUUCCCACUUCACAUUUUCAUAACUCUAUUACAUUUAUAACUAUUCUCACAAACACAUGUUAUAAUAACACACCACAAUUAUAACUCUUCCCCCAAAUGUAUAUUAUCGUAAUACUACAACAAUAAUCUUUUCUCUAAACACAUAUUAUCAUAAAACUACCAUUCAUAUUCAUUCCUUAAACACAUAUUACCAUAACAUUACCAAUAACAACCCUAACCUCAAACACAUAUUAUCAUAUAACACUAGGAUAAUUAUAAUCCUAGAAAUAUCAUAAUCAUUUUCUCCCACAAUUCAUUUCUUUCCUAAAACGCACACUUAGUAUUUAUUUUCAAUUCAUAUUUGAUUUCAAAUGUUAAGCUAGAAUUACUCGACAAGUAGAAAUAAUUAUGGUGAAUAUCUAUUUCUAUUUAUUUUAUUGUUAAAUUAUUAUAAGUAUGGUUUUGUAUUAUACAAUUGUUUGUUUGAAUAACGAAAUUUAACAACAAUCAAUAUUUGUCCUCUUCUAUUUCAGUAUUUAAAAUUUAAAGACAAUUUUUUCAAAAAAAUAAAUUAAGUAACAAUUUUAGAAGUGUUUAACAGAUAACUACUUCACAAAAUCACAUAUAUAAUCUUCUAAAAAAUUAAUCUAUAAUUUUUUAAAAUUUAACUUUAGUUUACCUAAAACAUCCAAAAUUUGAUUUAGAGAGAAAAAAUGACCUUUAGGAUGACGGGUGUAUUUAAAUUAACUUUUAAAGUGUUUAAAUUUGAAAAAAAAUUAUUUAAAAAAAUAUAAAAAUAUUUUAAAAUGUAUUUUUGAAAAAUUUAAAACUGAAAAAAUAUAUUUUAAAACAAAAUUAUGUAUAUAAAUACUCCCAACAUAAUGUAUUCUUAAAAACAACUUUUUCUAUAAAUAAUCCAAAUGACAAUGGACAAACAACCGUGAACACACUAAUUAUAAAUGGUAUGAAUAUGGGAAAUUUUCCGUAGCAUUGGAAGCUAAAUUUAAAUUUAAGAUCCAUUAUUAAAACUAAAAAGACAAAAAUUUAAAACCAAACAAACUUCAAACCAAAAUAAAAACUUAAUAACGAUACGAUUGCCGGAAGCCGCCGGUCAGAGCACAGAGAACCGUUAAAUCCCGAAGAUCGUGGGACACUGGUGGGCUACUGUAAAUUGCCGAUUCAGCUUGGAAGCUACGCUGCCAGUUUACACCACUUCUCUCUCUCUUUCUUGUAAAUCAUUUCCAACAAAUUUCUGGAACAAGUAUUUCCCCUCUACCGCCAUUUCAACUAGGGUUCAUCGGAGAUCGUCGUAAACUCCUGGAUCCAAGAUCGAAGAUCAAUUUUCUCGUCCAGCAACCACAAUUUGUCGGCAUUUCUUCAAAAACUACAGCUAAGUAGUUGUAAUUCGAUACUCUACAAGCUGGUUGUGCUUCUCUUCUCUUCCUGUCCAUGUGUUUAGUUUCUUGCCUCUUUCUUGGAAAAGCAUCGAUGGUUCGUGCGAUCCAGUAUAUGUGCGGCAUGUAAAGAAUUAGGGUUCUGAGAGUAUAUUUCUGUUGAGUUAGGUCUUUUCCUGAUUGAUUUCGAGUUCGGUUUUGCGCGAGGUGGAUUUUCUUUUUUGGCUCAAAUGGCGAUUAUUGGAGAUGCGCUUCGCCAGGCGUUCAUGCCUAAGCACGAGUAUGAGAAUCUUCGCGAAGAAGAAAAGGCUUGGGGCAAGCUUCAGAAACCACUGGUAAUGGCUCUUGUCGCUUUGAUAGGGCUCGCAAUUAUUGUAUGCACGAGUAUCAGUUUGAACAUAGUCUUCCCUGACGACAUCGGAAAUAGACCGUUCUGCAGCGACAGGAGGCUUCAGCCUCUUCCCAUGAUGAAUGGGAAAGGAGGCGAAUCUGAUCAUUUUCUUGGAGCUUUUUACCUCACUAAUCAAGAAAUCGUGGACUAUUAUUGGAUGCUCGUGUUCAUCCCCUCAGUAGUCGCAUUUUUUGCAUCGGCUAUUUAUCUUGUUGCCGGUAAGAGACAGUCUUUCAAUAUUUUAACCAUUAGCAGAAGAAUUUGGAUCUUCAAAAUUGGGAGUCCAUUGGUUCUGCUCAAUCAAUAGGAUUUUGACUUUUUUGGACAAUAGUGGAUUUUUCGUUGAUUAUGAAAGAUUUUGACUUGUUGCUCGUUUGUUGAAGAGAUAGGGACGACUUGUUAAAUGAGGUUAAGAGAUUCAAUGACUCGUUAUCAGUUCCCAUAUAGUAUUUGUUAAACAGUUCCCAUGAGGAAGCUUAUGGGAGAAAGGUCAAGAGACAAUCUAAGGCAACAUGUCGUGAAAAAAACUUAGACAUCAAAACGUGAUUGCUGAUGUGUGGACUAUGAAUUUCCCAUUAAUUGUUCUUUUACAUCAUUGGUUAUUCAGUUCUACACCAAUCUUGCAUCCUAACUACAUCUAUUACUUUAAUAGCAGGGUUGAGUACUGGUACUGUAAAUAAAAGUCUGUCUAGUUUUCGCUUUAUCUAUGGUUUUACCCGUUUAGACUCUUCUCUCCUUGUUAAUUAUAUUGUUAUGCAUUCUUCUGCUGCUAAAGGAUAAGGCAACAUGCUAGGGUCCAAAUGAAAGAAAUAGAAUGUGAUUUCUGUGUGGAGGUUCUUCGUGAAAGAAAUAAGGUUUCUUAGUGAUCAAAAUUGGGGUGGGCCUCUUAUCCCUUGCCCUUGCCCUUAGGUUGUUCUCUCUUGUUCUUUGAAUAUACAUGUUUCUUAUCCAAAAAAAAAUAUUCUAACGGGAGAAUACUGCAUUGAACACACAAGAUUAAGUUGUCAUGUUAUUUAAUGGAAUGCAAACCUGAGGACAAUUUAUCCGGAGGAGGAAUCGUGCUAAUUUCUGCUUCUUAUCUUACCCCCACCCACAAAAGAGUUUAGUUUCCUUUUCUGUUUUUAAUUGAGCCCCUUGUGUUCUGAGUCACUUUUCAAAUGUUUUUCCUAGAAUUUUUUUUGGAGAAUUUAGAUUUAUUGACCUCUAUAGCUGCGUGGAUGCAUGUUAGUUUGUGUUACAACUCUACCUUAGAAAUAAAGCUAAGGAAAUGUUGUAUUCUUAACUUUUAGAUGGCUUGAUGAUCACAUAUUUAUUAUCAUGAUAAAUGCAAUCAAAUUUCAGGCAUUCCUCUGUUUGAAUUCUACAAUAAUAUUUAAUCUCUUCUUUUAAUUAAGCAUUGUUUUAAGGGUGCAAUUAUCAGGAAAGUUUUUGUUUUGGAUGUGUUUUAGUUUCUGCUAUCUACUCAAUCAAUUAACUUAGUUCCGUCAGGGACAUCAGAUAAAAUUGGAACAGUACUCAAUCAAUUAACUUAUAUUGCAGGCAUAGUUGUUGCUUAUUCUGCUCCAAGUAGACAUGGUUGCUUGAAGGUUGUUGAGAAUAGCUACUGUGCAUCCAGAAGAGGUAAAACCCUAUCUAAAGGCUGUUUCUUAUCAUUAAUUGUGGAUGUUUUAAAGGAAGGUAGGUAUGCUAGUUUAAAAUCUUUUAGAGUUUGGACUUUGGAGUUCACCUUGCUGCUUUUGUUAGAGGAUCACUUUCUAAAUGAAGUUUUAUUUAGGUAUUUGGUAUAUGUAGUUAUUUUUAGUUUCCUGGUUCCUCUAUUUGCUCCCCUCUUCUUGGAAAUGAUACCACGAAACUAUUAUUUUACAAGCUAGAGCCAACAACCUUGCCAUUUGAUUCUCAUGCAAUCUAAGCAAAUUAUUUUCCUGUUAAGUUAUAAUAAAUAGGAUAUAAUAAAAGUGUUCCGUAUGACUGUUUUUCUGUAGUUAGUAGCUUAGUUUUGUUUUGCUGAAUUUUUCAUACGUCAAUUGAAGCUACGUGGUUAAUUGUAGGUGGGGUUCGCUGUCUUACCAUCCUGAAUGUUGUUUUUGCCAUCAUCUUUGGCCUCUUGGCAUUAUUUCUUGGUUCAAGUCUUCUCACCUUGGGUGGCAGCUGCUCUGUUCCCCUGUUUUGGUGCUAUGAGAUCUCAUCAUGGGGUCUAGUUAUUCUCUAUGGAGGAACUGCUUUUUUCUUAAGGCGAAAAUCAGCUACAAUUCUCGGCGAGGGAGAUCUCGGUAGUAGAAACCUUGGCCUGGAAAUGUUGGUUGCAAAUCCUAUGGAAAUCACUCCUGAUGUGGAAAGGCGUGUCAAUGAAGGAUUCAAAGCUUGGAUGGGAUCUUCUCUCUUAUCCUCUGAUGAAGAAGAUGAACCUGAUAGCUAUGAAGAAGUAACAUCCCAUAUCAACCAUGCUAACUUUAACAACGGCCACAUUGUGUGAUACGAUUUUCCUUCGAUUCAGGUGAUGACAGGUAAAUUUUGGCACAUUGGAGAUCCGAUAGUAGCCAGUCACAGAAAUAUAUAGAUGGCUGUUUGUGGAGAUAUUUGAUACAACUGACCCGAUUACAAGGCUUGGAUGGAUGGUAGCGGGAGUUUUUGUUGAGAUUUGGGUUUUCCUUUGUCACCAUAAUCUUGAUAACUUGUGAAUAGAUUAUAGAACUUACUCAGCUAGUAGUUGUCUCCUUUUAGGUUUUAUUUAACAAUUUCUCUCUUUAACCAUCUUUUAUGGCUUUGUUUCAAUGUCUUGUGGACCUUUUCUAACUAUGAACAGAAAAUACAAAUUGUCCAACAAACACGUUGGUUUGUCGUACUAAUAGAUAAAUUCUUACCAAUUUAUUUUUCUUUCUUAAUCUCAUCAUUCCGCUUAUCAUUUUAACCUAAGUGGAUAUAUUCUAACAUUUUCGCUCUCUCUUCUAUUAUCUUGUCCAUUUAGUUUGACUUUUUAAGUGUUUAUAAAAAAAAAAACACUUCAAAACUCAAUUCAAACACUUGUGUGUUUUGUUAUUAUCUUUUAUUUUUUGUUUUUUAAGCCAAGUUAAUUGAAUUGGAUGAGGUCGAAUUGAUUGAUUGUUGUCUAAAUCCAAUCAGGAUGUGGUUCAUGUUUAGCUUUCUUUUGGUUGUUAUUAAUUUUUAAUUUUCUAAUUUCUAGUUUAAUUCUUGUAUUUUAGAAUUGUCUUUAGGAUUUAGAUAUUAUCCAAGUUACAGCUUUUAAUAAUUUUACCUCUAAUAAAUUUGUAAAUAUUGGGUUUUUGUCCAUUAGGAUGUCAAAUUUGUUUCAUAAUAUGUCGAUGCUUAUUGUUUUCUCAAGUAUAUGAUAUUUAAAUCAUAAAUCUUUUAGUCGUUAGUAUAUUUGUACAUCAAUUGAGUUAUAUUUACUUUAACAUAUGUUACUGUUUAUUGGAGGUUAACACGACAAAGUUUAAAAUCUAUUACACACUAAAGAUUGAUUAAACACUUGUUAAAUUUUGACAUUUAAUAUAUACCUAUAAACUUCUUAAUUCAACUACUGUUUUUAAUAAACUCGACUUAAAUUUUGAUUAAUGUAUUUCAAAUCAUGAGCCCAAGACGUAUAUCUUCGUCUAACAGUACUAAAAGAUUGUUAGUGCAAAAACUGUUAGCAUGCACUAUAGGACGAAACCAUAUGAAUAACAUCAAUACGAACAAGCUUGCUUUUACUUUCUUAUUGAUGAAUGAUUUUCUGUUUUGUUAAGAAUUGCAGGUACUACAGCUCUAGAAGAGUAUGGAUACUCCUACUCACUACUUAACGUAUUAAUAAAUUCCUUAAAAAUGUAAUAUUUGGGUGUAGCUCCAUUUCCAUGCAUCAUUUCAAUUACAAACAGAGACAAAAUUCUCUCAUUAAAUAUUUGGAUAGACUGCACUACAAUGAAUGUGUUUAGAUCAAAGAUUAUUUCAUAUUAUAAUAACCCAAGAGCUUUCCGAGCGAACAAGAAGAAGAGCCACAGCAGCAAGGGAUGCCACUGGCAGGGAUGCAACAACCGCUACGUGGGGUGGAAGAGCCGCCAACGGGGUACUUCCUCUCGUCGAUUACCUUCUUUCUCCUUCGAGAUCAGAUUCAGGUGGGGACUUUCUGCCUUGUGCCUCUUUGGUCGACUUUCCUUUGUCCCUUCGUUCCGGGAAUGGUGUGAUCUUUCUAUCAUCACAAGUAUUUCAAAGAAAGAACAAGAGAAAGGAGAUUGAGAAACUAAACUCGCUCGACCCAAGUAUGUGAACCCACAAUCACCCACACUAACCUUGCCAUUUGUAAAAUUAUUUACUUACUAGAAUAUUUACUCUAUUUUUUUAAAAUUAAAAUAGUUUAGAGGUGAAAAAACACUUAUUAUUAUAAUUCAAAAAAAGAAAAUUCACUUUAACAAAACUAUUGUCCAGAACAUCUAAUAUUAUUUAUUAUCAUAGUAAAAAGACUUUUACAAAAGUAACAAAAAAAAAUUACGAUAAGAUAAUCUAUAUCAUAACAUUUUUUAAAUUUGUAAAAGUAACAAAUUUUAGUGAUGAUCAUCUGAUAUAUGAUUACGAUCCGAUAGCAUGUGAUUAUUGUUUGAUAGUCACUAAUUUUGCCAAUGCUAUUAUGAGCUAUAUUUUAAAAAUGUUUCAAUGUAAUUUUGUUUGGUAUAAAAUAUUUACAAAGUGAAAAUGACUGUAAAAAUGAAGCCCCAAGGAUUGAGAAGAUAGUCCGUUCCUUGGAGAUAUUUUCGGUUAAAAACAUUGAAAUGGGCGCCAAAGGUUGAAGAAAUGAUUUGUUUAUUAAAUAACAAUAAUCAUUGCUAUUUUAGAAAAGGUAUAAAAGGCGUGUCCCGAAUCCUGACUUAAAAUGAAAUUGCGUUUUCCAUUUUACAAACAGUAGAGUGUGGGUUAUCGUUGUGUGAAGAACGGAAAACACUCAUGGCGCAUUGGUGGAAAACUGGAGGAUCUGCGAUCAAUAUUUUCACAUACACUUGGUCUCAACUUCUCUGGAUGCAGAUUUCGGUAAGUCUUUGCAGUUUCGAUUUCGAACUCCGUUUUUUUUAAAAACGUACGAGUUCAUCUUCGUGAUGCUGGUACUCGAUUAUUCGCCUUCUCUAUUUUUGAUUAAAUAAGUCUUCUCUGCUCUAUCGCGAGCAAACUCCUCGAAUAGGACUUUAGGAGGUUAGGUUCUUCAUUUUUUUCUUCUUCUUCUUGCCUGAUUCGUUUUUUUAUUUUGUUUUUUGAGUCUCGAUUCUUGAUUUAUUUUCUAUUUUCAACUUCGAAUCAGUAGAAAUUGAAAGUAAGUCUUCUCUGCUCUAUCGCGAACAAACUCCUCGAAUAGGACUGUAGGAGGUUAGACUCUUCAUUCUUUUCUUCUUCUUCUUGCCUGAUUAGUUCUUUUUUUUUUUUUUAAGUCUCGAUUCAUGAUUUAUUUUCUAUUUUGAACUUCGAAUAAGUAGAAAUUGAAAAACUAGAGUGAUGAUGUAGAUUUCUUGUGGCCUAUAAUUGAUGGAAAGAAAAUCGAUCGCAAUCAUCUUAUUUAUCAAGCCGUUGGAAACAAGUGCACGAUCCUUAUCGGACUUAUUUCUCUGUUAUUUUCUCUGAUGCAAUCGGAUUGAGAUCGAGUUUACCUCAUCUGUAAAACGGCGGAAAAACGGAAAGGUAUUUUACUGUAUAUUCAGGUGGAUGCUCUCCAUUUUGUAUCUUCAGAUCUUUUGUUGAUUUCAAUAAGUCUGAGUAUGGAAAGAAGAGGCAAAAUGUCAGUAUUUCUUCAAUUAUAUUUGUUCUGAACUUAUGAUAAAAUUGCUCAAUGUCAAUAGCAAUAAUAGACUUGAGACUUGUAUCAAAGAUAGUUUAUGAGAUUCGAUUAUCUAGAAAUAAUAACUUGGACAGUUUUUCUGAUUUUUCUAUCGAAAUCAUAAUUUAUAACUCUUUGAAAUGAUAUCAUAUGACUUUAUCAAAAUCCAUUAAGUUGUUCGUAUCACAUCUGAUAGAUUUUAAUUUUACUGAGUAAAGGCGGUGAAUAGAAAGAUUUCAAUUGAGGUGGCAUUACUUCUUGCAAGAAGGUUUUGAUUAAGCCUAAAUUGACUGAUAUCGCUAUAUUUAUAUAUUGCAAUUUGCAAGUCUUUUUUCAAUGUAUUUUUAAAUUUUGUCAAACGUUAUUAUGAUGCAGCAACAUUCAUUUGAUAUUUCAACUUAAAGGAAAAAACGAACUGAAAGUUAGACUCCGGCAUGACUGUCCAGAGAGCAAAUGGUGAAGAAUUAACAGGUAGUGAACUUCGACUUUUUCUUUUCUUUUUUACAUUAUUUGUUUGUUUUUAUUAUCUGAGUAAUUUAUGUAUUCAUUUUUCAUAAAAUGUAUUUAGUUUUAAUGAAAAAUAUUGCUAAAAACCUAUGAUUACUAAAUUCUUUGUAUAUUAUUUGAAUCUUUAUACUCUCUUGUUUAUAUUUUUUUGACGUAGGAACUUGACAUAUUUUGAUUGAUUGAGAUAUUAAUUAUGAUUUACAACAUCCACUAAAAGUAGGAUUUUGAAUUUACUCAAUUUACUAAACUACACAAAAUAUGUGUGAGUAUAUAUAUAUAAAGAGUUAUACGUUGUAGAAACUUGUUGGAAAUUUGAAAACUACGAGUAAAGAUGUAGAGAAAAGAUGAAUAUAAUUUUGAAAAAUGAAAUAGCAAAAACUAAAUAGUGAUAAAAUAAGACUAAGAUAAAAUGGGACAAUGUAAUAGUUAGUAUCAAUGAAAUUGAUUUAAAGUGAAAACUAAGUUUAUUUACCACCAAUUUAUAUAGUAAUUGGGUUGGGUUCUUAGCCCAAAGCUUUAAGUUAUUUAUAUGAUUUCAAAACUUGGUUUGAUUUUUAAAACCAUUGAUAAAAUGUAAGUAACAAAACAAGAAAGCAAGAACACAUAAAUGAAUAUAAAUGUUUAAGUGCUUAAUUUUAAAAAGCUAAAAGUAUAAAACAAAAUUAGUUAUUAAAGAAGGCAUUGAUGAUUAUCUACAUGCUAAUCAUACUUUGUGCAGGAAGAAGUAGCUGGCUUUGUAUGAGGCAAUGAGCACGAAUACAAGGGAAGAAAAUAGAUGCUGCAAAUGAUGAAGCUGAAACGGAGUUGUUGCAAUAAUGGUCGCAAAUUAAACAACAGUGAAGGUAAGAGCACUACGACAAUUUUCAACAAAAACACACAAUCAUUGAAAUAGAAUUAUAAAGCAUGCAAGGAUGAACAUGCACUAAAAGUUCAACGCUAAGUUAGAACUUAGAAGUUGACAUUUUUAUUUAAAAUAUUUGGUUGUCGUAUAAAGUUUAUUUUCAAGGAUAAAAUUCAAGUUUAAAUAUUACUUUUCGUUGAUAUUGGAUUUUUACUUUUAAAAUGUUUAUUUUAGUCAUCGUACAUUUUGAGAAAUAGAGUAAAAAUUGAACUUAUUUUCAAAAUAUAACAAAAUUUAACAAAUACAUAGUUACAAUUUUUUUUCUAUUAAUAAGAAUUCUCCUUUUAAAAAGUUGUCAUUUUUUAGAAUAAUUAUAUAAUAAAAAAACAUCCUACAACUUUAUAAUUUAUGUAAAAAAUAUUCUAACCUUUAGAAAAUGCUCUUAAACUUCAAAAAUAAUUUACGUUUAAAUGUACUUUAGGUAGACAUUUUAUUUGAUUAGUUAUUGUUAUAAAAUGAUUUAGGUAGAAAUUUGUAUUUUAGAAUCGUGCGUGAUUUUGUAAAAUUUCAUGUUUUAACUUAAAAAUUUUAUUAUUGAGAAUUUGUGUAAGAUUUGGAUUGAGUGUAUUUUUGAAUUUUUUUUAAGCUUCAUUAUUUUCAUAAAACUUUUCAAUAGGUAGUAUUGAAGAAAAUGAAGUUGCAAAAGUAUUUUAGAUUUUGAAGUGUCAAAAGUAUUUUAGACUUUGCAUUUCAUGGUUUCUAAGUAAUUUUAAUUUUAGUUUUAGUUUUGAUUCAUUUAUUUAUACUCCAAAAAUGUUUUUGUAUUUUGUAAUAUGUGACCAUGUGCAUUCAUUUUUAAGGAACGAAGAAAUGAAUAGUUUUUAAACCAAAAGACGAAGAACUAAAAUUAAAAAAUGUGUAUUUAUCCUUUCUUUUUGGGACAAUUUUAUUGUAAAUAACAAAAUUACUAAAAAUUAUAUAAUAAAAUUUUAAAUUCUCAGUGAUAGUACUAUAUAUUUUUUUUAUCAAUACGUGGGCUGAUUACGUUAUAUUUAAAAAUGUCGGAUUCUUUUCUUUUAUCUGGAAAUCUAUGAGCCAACCGGUAAAAAUGGUUAAAGUGGGUGAUUUGCGUUUGCCUUAAAAAUAAUAGUGAAUACAUCUUUUCUCUUUUAUCUGUUGAAUAAAGAAUACAUUGGCUACACCAAGAAGCGUAAUGCCACUCCCCCAUAAGUUUUGUCCUUUCUUUUCCCGAAAAUGAAACAAUUAAAAAGAGAUAUAUAGAACAAAAUCAUAAACAUACAUUUUGUAAAAUAAAUUAACUAGAGAUCAAACUAUGUAUGCUAUUUGCUUACUAUCUGCAUCCUUUCAAUAAAUAUGAAGAGGGGCUGGAGAAGCUCCUUGUCGUCGCAGUAGAGGAUUUUCCGUUUUCAGUUCCUUUGCCAGGUGUUCCACAUUCGCUGAAGUCAAGAGUCCGUCGUUCUGUCUGCAAGAAUUCCGAAUUAUUCCAAGGUUAGUCAUCUUCAUUUAUUUAUUUAUUGUUUUAUUAAUGCUCAUUUAACAACUAUUUUUUGUUGUUUCAUUCCAAAUUUUCAAUUUUUAUUUUCAUGUUUAAACAGUUUUAAAACUACUUCUUAGUUUUCUUUUUUUUUUUUGAAAAUUUUGUAAAUUGUAGGUAGAUAGGAUAUUUAUAAGCUAAAAUUAAAAAGAAAAGAAAAGAAAAGUUCGCAAAUAGCAACCUUAAACACAAAUUUAUAUCCUCGAGAAGGAAAGUAAAAGAAAAUUUUACCUCAAGUGUUAAACCACAUUUCUAAAUAUUACUUAACAGUUUUCAAAUGAAUAAAUUAAAAUAGUUACAAAGUAUAGCAAAAUUUUAGAUUUUCUAAAAAUAUUUAUGAACUAUAGCAAAAUUUUAGAUUUUAUGAAUGAUAAAAAGUACUAUUAUUGUCUAUAAAUGAUACUAAUAGAAUAAUAUUAUUAAUGUCUAAUAUUGAUAUAAUAUGAAAAUUGUUUGUCAAAUUUGUUAAUUUUUACCAUUUUUCUUUCAAAUUCUAUUUUUUUUGAAUUGGUUUAGAUAUGCAUUGGGUGCAUUAGAAGACUUUCCAUAUGGUCUAAAUGAGUGUUUGUAAAUAAUGUUUAUAACCACUCCUAAUUUCAAUCCAAAUGUGCAAUAGAUCUAUUUAAAAGCUUUUAAUAAAAUUGAAUUGUUUUAAAGAAUUCAUUUUGACACGUUUUUUUAAGCCUAUAUUGGACAAUAAUUUUCGGUUUCAAUAAGAAAUUUAUUUAAAAAAACUUGUAGAAUGGUUAUACAUAGAAAAAGAAAACUUAAUGGUACUGUAAAGUUUUUUUUAAUAAAUUUUAUAAAUAGUUUUGCUAUUGUUAAAAAUAUUUUAAUUAUUAAAAAUACAUUUUAAAAAGUAAAAGUACAUUCCCUAAAUUUGAAGGCUUAUGUAUGUUUUAUGAAAAUCUAAAUUUACAAAUUCUGUCUUUAAAAAAUUUCUUCGUAAUUUUAAAUAACAAAAAAUUAAAUCAGUUAACAAAAAUAUCUAUUUUUAAAAAAAUAUUUAGUAUCAAACAUGUCCUAAAUAAUUCAAAAAUAUUCUCAACCAAAGAACGGGUGUAAAAAAAGGUUAUUAUCCAGAAGCAAUUUUCUUUUCUUUCUUUUCUUUUCUUUUUUUUUUGGUGAAAUCCAACGACAGUUUUAAACAAUACAAAAACAAAGUGGUCGAUUCAGUGGGGAUUUAAAUAAUGACGUAGUAUUUUUAAAUGUCAUGACUUGAUUUGACAAAAAUAACACAAAAUAUGCUUUGUCAAAGAUGUUAGGACAAAUUUCUAUUUUGUCAAUUUAUCAUGGUGUACUUGUUAAGUUUGGACAAUUGUGCAAGUGUUAUCCAAUUUUCUCAAAUUCAGAAAAAGUAACGGUGCGUAGCCUAGUAUGUGCAGGCAUAAAGGUAUUUUAAUUUAAAUCAAUAAUUUGUUUCACUUUCUUAUAAUGAUAGAACACGCUACAAUCUAAGGUGAAAAAUAAUUUUUUUAUCUUUGAGGUUUCAAAAUCAGCCUAAAUCCUGCCUUUGCUUUUAAUUUAGUCCCUAAAUUUUAAAUUUUAUAAUUUUUGUUUAAUAAUCACUUUAAGUGAUUAUCGUUUAUUAAUUAACUAAUUAUAAAAUAACAAUUUUUAAUUUAUUUUAAUAGUAAUAAAAAAUAGUAAAUUUUAGUUAAUAAUAAUAAUUUAAAAUUAAUUAAUUGAAACUAACCUUACAAAUAGAAAGUAAGUAUUUUAGUGAAAAUUUAAAAUAAAAAAUAUGAACCUUGGAACCUAGAGAACUCAAAUCUCAGUGUCGAACCAAUUUAUGGUGGUUUGGCUGGAUGUUAAAUUUGAGUUUGGUUUUUUCUUCUAGUAAAGUUGUAAAAAAUAGAAUAUUUAACUCGGGUAAAUUUGUUGUAUGAAUGUAAAUCAUUUGUAAAAAAAAAAAAAAAAAAUCUUUUCUCAAAAUUUAUAAAUAUAAAUAUAAAAACAAAUAUAUAUAUAUAGUAGGUAAAAUGGUCAAUUUCGAUAUUGGGAGUAAUAAAUUUUUUAAUUCGAUUUGUGCUAUUUGAAUGGCCAAACAAUGAUAAUAAUAAUGAGGGGGGGGAGAGGAACGUACCAAUAUAUCGGGAGCCAAGGUGGAACGGGAGUUGGUAAAAUGAUUGUUCUUGUCGUUGUUGUGAUUCUCAUAUUUGCCACGUCUUCCUUUCAAUAAGGAUUGUGGAGUUUCAUUUCCCAGAACCUCUUGAGCAUUCGCACACGCAGCCGCAGUCUGUUCGCUUACCUCUUUCAUCAGCCCUAUUGCAUCGUAGCUUCUAUCCCCUGGGCUCAUAAAUAAUCCUACUUCCUGCAUUUAAACUCCAACUAUUACAAAAUCUAACAAUACAAAAACUCUAAAAAUAAAUACAAAUUAUGUUUCAAUUACAGCUUUACUUUAGUUCUGCGUCAUAUAAAUUCAUCAUAAAAUGUUGAAUAUACUAAAGACCUUAACAAAACAAGUAAGUUAUAGUGUUUGGCAAGUAAUGAUAGAUUUUUGUAAUUAACGAUGAGCAAGUUGGUUUUAAUGUUUGGCAAAUAAAUAAUAAAUUAUCAUGUUUUAAAUAUAAUACUAAAAUAGACAUAUUUUAUAAGAAAAUUGUUAAAAAGAAAAAAAUUAGCAAAAUAUUUACACUUAAUUAUAAGGGUUUUUUUUUAAUAAAAAAUUGAAAACAAAACCAUUAAAAAAAGCAUUAAAUAUGUUGUCAAAUAUUUAAUUUUUGACAAUUUCUCUAAUAAAAUAAUUAUCUAUGAAAUGUAGGUAAUUUGUUUUUCUUCUUUCUAUUUUUGAAAAAAAAAUCUCAUUUUAUACGUAUAUAAUUUUUCACCUUAAAAAAAUUGUUUAAAAUAAUAAUUCUUUUUGUUCUAGAACAAUUUUCAAAUAUUGAGGAAAAUAGCUUUAACUUUAUAUGGGAAAAAAAUCAAUAUGAUAUUUUUUAUAUAAAAAAAAAUGGAUGCACUCAACUGAAAAUUAUAAUAUAUAUAUAUAUGUAUACAUAUAUAUAUAUAUGUAAAAAAUCUUAAUUUUAAAAGAUUAAAUUUAGGAGAUUAAAGAUAUAAUAUUUUAGGAGAAUUCUAAAAGCCAUUUUAAAAGAAGGUUUGAAACCAACGUAUUUUUAAAAGUAAUUCCAAUCUGUUUUAUUUAAACCAAAAAAAAAAAAAUUAGUUAAGAUUUUUCUACAAUUUUGAUUGCAACCCUAAACGCACCCUAAAUCUAUAAUUUAACCAAAACUAAUUGUAGUAAUUACCUCCAUUGGUACAUCAGUAUCCAUUCUUGAACCAAAUAGAAAAGAAUUGAUGAACCAAGGCGAUUUCCAUGCUGAAGGAGAUUCGAUGCUUCUCUUGAAUGGAGUUCCACCAAAUCUGGAAACAACAUCGUCAACUGAGAAGCCAUAGAGAAAAAGUCGAGGAAAAUAGCAGUAACCAAUUACCGAGGUUUAGACGCAUGGAUAAAAGGAUAGAUCUUUUAUGGUGAAAAGUAUAAAUUUUCUAAAGAUAAUGAUGCUAUUGAACUACUGCCAAAAUCAGAGUGGAAAAGUUUUGGCAGGAGUAAAAUUGGGGUUGUGAAAAGGAUUAUUUGCCGUAACUUACAAUAAAGUAAAUCUUACAUGGUUAUGGUUUCAAGAGAGGACUCCUUUGAAGCAUUAUCACCAGCAACCUCAAGAGUUCUUCCAUGGCACGUUCCACUGGCAAUAGAACAAUUUGCAAGUGCACAAUGAUCGUCAGAUAAGUUUGAAGGGAAAUCCUGAUCUUGUAGAGAUGUUGAGGUUCUACUACACUGCAUUUCAGCAACACCAUCACGAUUUGUAGAAUACGAGAGUGACUCGUUUGUGUCACACUCAAGAAGGAUGCGUGAACGCUGUUGAACCUCCUGUGUAAUGAAAAGAGGUUUGAAGGGGUGAUGAUUCUAUGAGUUAAUCAAAAAUAAUUUUGAGUAGAAGACAAAGAAAACGACUCACUAUUUGGCCAAUAGAAUCGAUACGCUCGUUUGCCGCGGGAUUAUCCAGUUCUUGCAUUUUCUUCUCCUGGAAACUAAAGCUAUCUGAAGUUCUCUCUGGCCGUUUGCAAUGCGAAAUGUUGUAAAGAUCGCUAUGCUUCUCUUGCCUCACUUCUUCUGCAGGACAUAUAUUUUCCUUAUCUUCAGAGCUUCUAGAAUUGACUGUCUGGUGUGAUGGAUUAGUAUGAGAUGGUGUUCUACUAAUGCCAACAUCAAUCUCUUGCUUCUUGUCGCAUCGUUUAUCUGAUAGAGGAGAUAAGAACUCCCUAUGGCGUUUCUUCAAGAUUGAUGGAGUAUUAGUGAAAGUCUUAGCAGCACUUUUCAACAGAGCAUCGGGACUUUCAUCACGGGUAGGUGAAUUCCAUAGCCUAAAUGGAGUAAGACAGUUAAUAGAAGACAUCAUAAGUUGACGGAUACCAAGUGGACUAUAUUCCUGCUGCAUAUCACUGGCGGCCGGUGCAAGAUCACAGCUAAGGAAUGGAACAUCCAAACUUGGAAACCGAGGGGGUUCAUAACAAAGAGCUCCGAUAAGGUCCGGUUGAUCUGGAUGUGUUUUCUCUCUUCCACUAAAUGAAGGCAAAUUUUCUGCAGUUUUAGGUUCUGAACUAAAUGUAUUUACAGGAACCAAUUUUGAUGGAUCCUUUGAACCCUGCUGCUUUUGGAGUUCUGCGUUCAUGAAACCGUUCUUGGAAGGUGAGUCGGUGGAUUCAUUGGUGUAGAUAAAGCCAUCAUGUCCAUUUGCUACAAGCUCUUGUUCGAGAGUUUCAAAUAAAUGACUUGUGUCACUAGUAUAUACAUAAGUAUCAUCAUUAGCAGAAACCAAGAGAGGAGCUAGAAAGCGUUGUGAACAUGAGUUAUCCAGAACAUCAGAUCUCGCAUGGUGAUACGAUUGCAAUGGUAUGUUUCUAUUACUUUCUGGCAAUUCGAUGCUCGUUGAUUGACGGUGCAAAGGGUGUGCAUAUCCACUCAGUUCAACCAUGUCCGAUGUAUUUAUUGUAUUUUCAGAAGGAAAAGAUUCAUUGACUACUGCAUCUGAAAAAAGGACCGUGCAACAUUCAUAAUCAGAAAUCAGCAUAUGUUCAGGUUUAACUGAAGCCGUAGCCAUAUUGUCGGCGGUAGAUGCACUAAAUCCAGCAGAAGUUUGAUGUGGAGCAGUUUCUACUUCCUGAGAUCCAUUUGCUUGAAAGUGUGGUAACUCAUGACCUAAUUCCAGUGAAGAAAUAUUUGGUAACUCGUACAAAUUAUAUCGAUUAUCUUCAGUUGAUGAAGUUCUGCAAUCCUGUGAGAAAUUGUGGUUAGGGGUUUUCACGUAGCAACCCAAUUCACUGAGCAUUUCAGGAAUCGAAAAGGUGAUGUUGUCCAAAGACGCAUGAUAUUGCCCCGGACAAUGUGGUGGUGAGCAUGGUUCGUCUUUUAAAAAAGCAUCUUCAGCCAAUUGGCAUUCCUCUUUUGUGCGUGGAAUUGUAUUGGAGCAAGCACCAAUAGCUGAAGUUUGACUGACUUCAGAUAUGUCCUCUGUUUCUGCCCCCCUGAGACUGCUAUCAUCCAUACUGCUUUGCACCCUUGAGGAUGAAAGCAUGGGUAAGCUUGAUUGUGAUGCAUGAUGCAGGGGUUGAUACUGUUCGAGUAAACCGGAUGCCAAGUAAGAUUCCAAUUUCUUUUUCACAGAACUAUUCCAGUGGUUCUUUAUAGCAUUGUCUGUCCUGUUGACAAUCAAAUAUACAUCACUCUAUGGGUAUCUUAGCAGUGCUGAAGAUAAAUUCAAAAUAAUGAAGCUCUGUAAUGCACUAAAGUAAGUCACUACCUCAAUGAACACGAAGAAUCACACCGAGAAUUACAAGCAAUAUGUGAGUAUUAUCCCAUAACAAAGAAGUGCUUGGGGAAAGAAAUAUACUGAAAAUUUGAGCAUCUGCUUACCUGCCAGGCAAGAACUUCGUUAGCUCUGCCCAUCUAUUUCCAUAUAUUUGGUGAGCACGAAUAAGUGCCAACUCUUCUUCCUGUGUCCAUGCCUCCUUGUUUAUGGCAGGAUUUAAAUGAUUGUGCCACCUGAUUAAUUGAAAAGUUAAAAAGUUAAGUUAAUUGACAAAAUCGAGCAAUAAACGCUCCCACAACUCAAUAAAUUAUUGUAUAUGUAAAACAAGGCCUUUAGACUUUUGUAUUGACACAUUUCAACACAGAUAACCUCAGGAAGUCGAAUACUAAAGACGCCAUCUCAAGAAACUUCAAAUCAUACCUUUCCCUACAUUGCUUACCAAUGCGUCCAGGUAAGUGUUGUGCUAUAGUGGACCACUUCUUUGGUCCAUACUUUUCCACCAAUUCAACAAUUAUUUCAUCUUCCUAAAACAAAUUCCAAAAUGAUUCAUAAGUUCAUUGAAAAAAAGUGCAUUAUGCAUCCAUUGAUAUGCUUAUAAAGUGACAGUCAAUGUAAGGAAGAAUUACUGUCAAGGACAGACAACCUCUUUAGACCAUGGACCUUUGACAAGUUCUGGAUUCAAAACCUUCUGCCACCUAUGUAGACAUUGCACAUCAGUUCGAUCCUUGAAGCAUUCCGCUACAUACAACCAAAUAUGAGAUCAGGCGUAUGGCUUAUAGAACAUCGAGCUACGAGGAUCAAUAAAUUUCCAUUGAAUUGCAAAGAAAGCAAGUAUCGAUGCACAAUCAUGAGCAAGUAAGUACGGUUUCCAUUAAUACCAAUUGUCAACAUUAAAAUAUCAAUAAUCUAACAAUUGCAUGUGACCUCCAAUAACUAUUUGCAAUAAUGAUUCAGAAUGAUUGUACAUAAAAAAAAAAUCACCAUUACCUAUUUUCUUCCAGUUCUUGCCUUUGAAACGUUGGACUGCCUUCCGCAAGAUUUCAUCCUAAUCACAUAAGAAGUUUAUCAUUUAGAUUAAGUCUAUGAAGAAAACCUAACACGAUUAAGAAAAUCUCUUCAGCAUGAAAAUAUUUUAAAGAAUCAAAGUGAAUGUGUGUUUUGUCUGCAUCAUAAUAAACGAAAGACUUUUAAAAGAGGAAAAUGAAAAUGGUUAGUUACCUCUUCAGCUGUCCAUUGGCCUUUGGUGGAGCGUCUAGUAGGACCAGUUGUUCUUCGGCUAGAAGUUGUUCAAUCAUAAGCACAAAUUUGGAUAAAUAAUAUGGCUCUAAAUCUCUCAAUCAAACUAAGUUUUAACACAAGGAGUGUUGAUAAAACGAUAGACUGUUAUGAUUGGAGAAGAAGUUACGAAACUAGAAGAGAUUGGGAGAGAGUUGAUAAAUAGAUGAACAUGAUGUUGAAUCAAAAGAAUGUAGAUGAUUUUCCAACAGAAAUUACCUAUGCAAAGCUCGAAUAUUCUGACCACUGUCACCAGACACAUCUAAAGAAGUACAAAGCGGAGGAUCACUUUCCAUAGUUCUUCGUCAAGCAGGUAAAGCUGCAUAGCCCAACUCCUACUCCACUGCAACUCUCUCCCGAAUAUUUCCUCAAAAUCAUUCUACUCUUCCAAAGAAGAGCCAACGAUUAGUUCUCAUCCGAAAAUCCGAUGGACUGCAGAAACACGACAUACAGGAGAGAAUUCGUCAGACACAAAUCCUCAGUUGUAGUAACAGAAGAUAGUAUAAAAUCUUUAUAACGGAAUCAUUGUCUCAAACCAUUGCAAUUAGAGAUCUAGAGUUUCAAAUUCCAAAGAUGAAGAAGAAACCACAAGAAACCGUGGCUUAGGUUUCAAAAACGCAUUUCCGCUUAUAUAUAGUACAAACCAAACUCGACUGAAGCUACUCUUACAAAUUCAAAAUCAGAAGGAACCAAAUUAUUAAUAAAGCUCUAUCGGACACGACCUAGAGCUAACCUAAAGACUAACCUAAAGAAAUACUCCAGAAAUCAAAAUCCAAAUCAGAAUUAAUUCAACCAGAACGAAAAGAAGUAGAUACAGAACUUCGAUAAAAAGAAAAUCCGAUUAAACAGAUUUCAAAACCAGAAACACAUCGAACUUAAAAAUUCAGUAGAAAAAAGAACGAUUCGCCUACUUCACUUACAAAAAAGCGAAAUGCAGAUGAACAGGCUGAAGAUGUUCAAAUCUUCGCUAUUGAAAUCGAUCAACACCUCGAGCAAGAGCAGAUCCGAGAGAGAAGAUGCAGGUGAGCGAGAGAGAGAGAGAGAGAGAGAAAUAGAGAGAGAUAGAGAGAGAGAUGAAGAAUGAGUGAGAUCAGAGAGAAGCCAUAUUCAAAUACAAAGAAGGCGGACUGGGAGAUUCAAACCCUAUGGUUAAAGUCAAUCAAAGUUUUUUGAAAUUAGUCGAUUUAACGCCUAUGGAGAGAAAUGCCCAUUUUUGUACCUAAAAUCCAACCGGUUCUUUUCGAAAAAGUUCAACUUCAACGGGCAUUUUCAAUUAUCAUCUUUUUUUUCCAUUUUUCCAAAUAAUAAAAAAAAAAAAAAAAACGUAACCUUCUCUAAUUUUGUCCAAACGUCUGUUCAUUACAAUACUAAAAAUCUCAUUAAUUUAAGAUUAAAUACAAAAUUGUUGCCUGAACUUCUUUUGUAAUGACUAUUUGCUAUUUAGCCCUAAAAUUUGAAAUUUUUAAUUACAUUAUUUUUUUACAAUUGAUUUUAACUAAAUUAUAAAAUUUAGUGGGUUUUUUUUUUCUAUACAUAAACAUUUUUAGGUUAAACUAUUAAACUAUUAAACUAUUCAAAUUAUUUGUAUAUUUUCAUAUAUCUCCAAAAGUUUUAAUGUUAUCCUUAAUUUUUUUAUAAGCAAGCGUCUUAAUAUUACUUUUAAGGUAGUUCUUACAAAAUUUGAUUGGAAAUUAGGACAUGAAAAUGAUGUGACGUUAACAUAGAACAAAAAUUUGGAUUGUCAACACAUCGUAAAAACUUUACAAAGUAUUGAAAUGUUUAUCAAAACUUGAAAGGGCUACUUGGGAAGCUCUUUCAAGUUUUAGGACUCUUUGAAUACAUAAGUAACAGAAAACAUAAUGGAAAUAAGGUCGUAAACAUAGAAAUUGUUGAAAAGAUGGCUAAGUAUAAAACCGUUAGAAUGAAAAGAAUCAAGUAUAUAAGUAUGUCCAAAAUUAAUCGAAGAUCAAACAGAUGUUGCAUCUAACAUCAUGCAACCCUCCUAACAUAUACUAAAAAGAAGAUCAUUCUUCACACGAAUUUUAAUUAACUAAUCGAUUGUAGGUGCAAUCAAACCAGCACCUAAAUAUAUUUUAUUUUACAAUACACUAUAGAAGUUAUCGACUAUAAGUACAAUAAAUAUAGGGCGAUGAUUCGGACAUACAUUAACAGUGAUAUUAUAAAUAUGUGUAUAUAUAUAUAUAUAAAGAAAAGAAAAACAUUUAGCUUAUUUUGGAGAAAGGAAAAGACAAAAAGUACAUAGGGCACCAUUAUUUUGGGGGCAUUUAUUGAAUUCAGUUUUAAAUACUUAAACUAAUGCUUCAAUUUUCAGCUAUUUUCUAGUUUUGGUUGAUAUCGAUUAUUUGCUUUUGAAAUAUUUAUUUUGAUUUAUAUAUUUUUAUUUUUUAGUAAACUGACUUAUUAGUAUAAUAAAAUAAUUUAUUUUAAAUUAAGAGACCAAAGUAAAGAAAUUGAAAAUAAACUUUAAUAAAGAAAAACAAUUAGAAUAAUUUGAAAACAUACAACUAAAAUAUAUUAUAGUUUAUUUUAAAGUUGAAAGUAAAUUAAGAUGAAUACUUUGGAACCAUAUGACCCAAAGCCAAAAAGAAAUAAAAUAAAAAACAGUAUCUGAGCUCAGGUCAGUCGAACUCUCAAAUACAUUUUUAAAAAAGUCGAACAUUUUAUAGUUGUUUACAUUAAAAUUUUAUCAACAAUAUCUAUAUUUCUAAAUUAAAAAGUGCAACGACAGAGAACGAAUUACAUGAAAAUUUUGAAAAAAGAUGUUGCCAAAUUUUGAACAACAAAAUUAAAGUAUAAAAACUUAAAAUACAAAAAAGUACAUUAGAAUUAUGACGACUUUUUUCACCUUUUUUAUUUCCGAUAGGGGCUUUUGCUCAAAAACAAACGUGGCUUCCAAAUUUAAAAAGGGUAUAGAUUCACAUUCACAUACACCUUUGAAUCUUCUCGGUCACUUUAAACUCAUUCAUUACUCACUGGGAAUUCAAAAAUAGAUCUGUGAAUAUAUUGCAUCGAAGUGUAGAAAGACAAAUUAGUAAAACCUAAAAUUCAAAAUACGUUAAUAUAAUUUAAAGUCAUUACUAACUACGCCGCCACUUCUUUUUGGGAGCCUCACUUUAGUGGGAACCACUUUUGUUUCUAACACGCAAAUUUUUUUAUGAUUGAUUUUGGAAAACUUGGGAGGUGGGGAAAGAUAACUAGAAUGGUUUGGUUAGCUUGUUAUGUUCAGUUGAUAGAAGAUGAGUAAAAAAUGAAAAAGGACAACCUAAACUAAACAUGAUACGAAGUGCUUCCCCGGCCUCCAAAUUCUUUGCAUUGCGGAAAAAUUGUAGCAGAGCCCGCCAUAGAGAUAUAAGCUAUAAACCUUUUUAAACCUUUUGAGCUUUGUUAGGGCGACCUCGAUGGUUGUCAUGCCCCCUCGAUCGUCCAUGCUUUCCACCUCGAUUGAAUUUGCCACCCCUAUGGAUAGAGCAAGCAGGAGAAAACCAUAGGAAGAUUAUGAAAGAGACCAAGAGAAAGAUCUCGUGAUAGAAUAGUAACAUAUACAAAUAACACUAAUAGGUUAGAUUACGUUUGAUAACCUUUUUGUUUAACUCUUCUUUUAAAAAAUCAAACCAAAGUUUGAAAACUAAAAAAUAGAGUGAUUGAUAAUCGUUUUUUGUUUUUGAAAAUUGUGUUUGCUUUUUUAAAAACCUGAUUUUGCUUUCAAUUUAGAUUAGAAUUGAAAUGUGUGUUUAUGAAGAAGGUAGAUACAACAAACAAAAUGGCUAUCAAUAGACGCUAAUACUUAGUAAUGUAGUGAGCAAACCUUCCACGGUUUCCCUUAAAGUCGCGAUGAUGCUUCUCUUGGUUGCUGCGGAGUAGACUCCAAUACUCCUUCUCAGCCUCACCUGAAAUAAAGGAUUUCAACCAAAGUUGUAAAAAGGAGAACAGAAGAGUAAUUUCAAUUUCAUCAAAUAUGAAGUCAUCCAAGAGCAUUGACAAAGACGAUGAAUAUUAUAACUUCAUAAGUACGCUUCCUCUCCCCAAGUCAAUUAUAUAAAGUUAUGGAAGGAAUAACAUGAAAUUACAAAAAGUCAUUUACCAGCAUUAACGAUUUUCAAAGUUAUUUGCAGAUCGUGAAACAAAAUAAACAGGAAAAAAGAUGCAACAGAUUCCAAAGAGUGGAGAGUUGGUAGAAUUCCAAAAGUUUAUUAACCAAGAAAACAGAGACAAAUAGAGCUACUAUCACUAUGUACAAUUUUAACUAAUUUUAAAAUACACCAUGCCAAUUGAUGUUGCUAAUAGAUCUUUUCAAUCAAGACCGACAAUAGAAAAACACCUAUAGAUAUUACUUUACUCAUUGCUCAAAGAACAGUGAAAUUUUGUAUUAUACCUGACACUGGUUCUAAAGUGGCUAUAAAAUUCUUCACAGCCAGUCCCCCUUGCUCAGCUAGUACUGCAGACGCACGAGCUUUCUGGGCAGCUUCAGGCUCCUCAAACCUUAUAUAGCCCGACUCGUCUCCAAUCUUAAAAUCAAUGAACUUGACAAUUCCAACCAAAUAUGAGAGGGGAAAAACACGUCAGAGUGAAUAAGAAAUAAACAAAGUGAAGUAAAAAAAACAUGAAAAGCACAAACCAAAGUAGUGAAUCUAGCCAAAGUGAUAAUUCGAAAAAAACAACAUAAUAAUAAAAAAAGAUCUCCCCUCACCACACGCACACAUCAUUAAGGUAAAAUUCUAGGGUAGAAUGAGUGAAAUAAAACAAUAAUAAUGCAAGAAAAACUAGUGAUGUAAAGCACAAACAGAGGAGAAGAAUAACUAAUAGAUAAAGUAGAGAACAAAAAAAAUUCAAAAUAAAUCAUAUUGAAACGUUCCAUAGAGCAUAGUACGAGGAAGAAACUAUGAGAUACCUUAACACUUCCAAACUUCCGAAAAACAGCCUUCAAAUCCUCACGCGAAACAACAUUCAUAUUGUUCCUAGAUUGAAAAGCUGUGGGUUUUUCUUCAGCCUCUUCAUGUUCAUCUACGGUAUCGUCCAUAGACUGUUCUUCCACCUCAAGACUUUUUUCAUUGCCAGAAUCAUUUUUCUCCACAGCCUCUCCAUUCUUAUCAUCAGCACUUUCCUUAAUUUCUUCAUCUUUACUCAAAUUUGUUUCCUCUAUUUGCACAGUUUUCUCAGAGUCAUUCUUUGAGGAGUCUAGCCCUUCAUCUGUUUUGCAUUCAGUCUUAUCAGCUACACCAUGAGAUUCAUUUCCCUCAGCAGUACUUCCAGAUGACGUGCUUUUCAAUGUAAAGGCAACAAUUAAGCCUUUAGGGUAGCUGCAAUGAAAAUCCAUAAGAUCGAUCAUGUGAUGUGGAAAGAAGAGAAGUGUAUGGCUAAAUAUACUACAGAUUACUACCAGUGUCCUACAUACCUUGCUUCUGGGGAACUAUUAUUGUUGCUGCGGUUGGCACCUGAGGUUGAGCGUGAACUUUCAAACUUCUCCAUCUCUUUUGCUCUCUCCUCAUCAAAUUCCCUCCUGAAAUGGAAAUAAUCUUUACAAACGCAGUUGACUGAUAUGUCGAAGGGAAUAUGUUAUGAAUGUUUAAACUUUACAAAGAAGCCUGGGUAACCAAUACACUUUCGAAUAGAUAUCAAUUAGAAAAGCAAUUUUAUAAAAAAUAUCAUCACAUUUCACAAAAGAAAAUUAGGCUUCCACCUUUCUAGAAGAUAUUAAGGAUCAAAGUUCAAACACACAUGAACGAUGGGUGAAAGAAUAAAUAUUGAACAACCAACUAUUCUACAUAAUACAGAAGUAAACCUACGGAUACAUCCUAAACAUAGUAUGGAAUCUGGCAGUUAUCAUUUAGUCAGCCUAUAAUGGUUUUACCAAUGAGCUUCUCAAAAAGGACAGAAGAAGAAAUCAAAGAACAUGCAAAUUCAAUUGAUUAUUGCUUACAACAUUUAGAAUGGUUUUAGAAUCAUUAAACUUAGUUAAAUUUAAGAUUGCAACAA